RNAcentral lists this long non-coding RNA (76244 nucleotides) under Hordeum vulgare. Its description in RNAcentral is "long non-coding RNA (HVUL_LNC015138)". Lineage: Eukaryota; Viridiplantae; Streptophyta; Magnoliopsida; Poales; Poaceae. The record is from RNAcentral.
UUACCGUCCGCGUCCAUCUUCUUCUUAAAGAUCCAUUUGUUCUGAAUAGCCUUGCGGCAUUCAGGUAAUACUUUCAAAGUCCAUGCCAUCUCCCUCUCUCUCCCUCUCCCUCUCCCUCUCUCUCUCCCUCUCCCUCUCCCUCUCCCUCUCCGCCUCUCCCUCUCCCUCUCUCCCUCUCCCUCUCCCUCUCUCUCCCUCUCCCUCUCCCCCUCUCCCUCNCUCUCCCUCCCUCCCUCCCUCCCCCUCUCUCUCUCUCUCUUCUCUCUCUCCCCCUCUCUCCCUCUCCCUCUCCCUCUCCAUUGUGUUUUCAUACAUAGAUCCUAUCUCAUACUUCUUGGCCUCCAGCCAUUUUUUGGAAUCCGGGCCCACCAUUGCUUCUUCAUAACUUGCAGGUUCAUUGUUGUCUAACAACAUGAUUGAUAAGACAGGAUUACCGUACCACUCAGGAGUAGUACGUGAUCUUGUCGACCUGCGAGGUACGUCAGUAACUUGAUCUGAAACUUCAUGAUCAUCAUCAUUAAUUUCCUCCUCAACUGGCGUCGCUUCGACAGAGGUUUCCCCUUGCCCUACUCCACCAUCUAGAGGGAGUAGAGGUUCGACGACCUCAUCAAGUUCUAUCUUCCUCCCACUCAAUUCUUUCGAGAGAAACUCCUUCUCAAGAAAAGCUUCGUUCUUAGCAACAAACACUUUUCCCUCGGAUUUGAGAUAGAAGGUGUACCCAACUGUCUCCUUUGGGUAACCUAUGAAGAUGCACUCUUCCGCUUUGGGUUCCAGCUUUUCAGGCUGAAGCUUUUUGACAUAAGCAUCACAUCCCCAAACUUUAAGAAACGACAACUUUGGCCUCUUGCCAUGCCACGGCUUGUAUGGUGUCGUUUCAACGGAUUUUGAUGGUGCCCUAUUUAAAGUGAAUGCAGCUGUCUCUAAUGCAUAACCCCAAAACGAUGACGACAAAUCGGUAAGAAACAUCAUAGAUCGCACCAUUUCUAACAAAGUACGAUUACGACGUUCGGACACACCAUUACGGUGUGGUGUUCCAGGCGGUGUUAACUGUGAAAUGAUUCCACAUUGUCUCAAGUGAGCACCAAACUCGAAACUCAGAUACUCACCCCACGAUCAGAAUGUAGGAACUUGAUCUUCUUGUUACGAUGAUUUUCAACUUCACUCUGAAAUUGCUUGAACUUCUCAAACAUUUUAGACGUGUGCUUCAUCAAGUAGAUAUAUCCAUACCUACUCAAAUUGUCCGUGAAGGUGAGAAAAUAACGAUAUCUGCCACGCGCCUCCACACUCAUCUGACCGCACACAUCGGUAUGUAUGAUCUCCAACAAGUCACUUGCACGUCCAUUGUUUCGAAGAACGCAUCUUAGUCAUCUUGCCCAUGAGGCAUGGUUCGCACGUGUCAAGUGAGUCAAAAUCAAGUGACUCCAAAAGCCCAUCGGAAUAGAGUUUCUUCAUGCGCUUUACUCCAAUAUGACCUAAGCGGCAGUGCCACAAAAAACGUGGCGCUAUCAUUGUUAACUCUAUAUCUUUUGGUCUCAAUGUUAUGUAUAUGUGUAUCAUCACAAUCAAGAUUCAAUACGAAUAAUCCUCUCAUAUUGGGUGCAUGAACAUAAAAGAUAUUACUCAUAGAAAUAGAACAACCACUAUUCUCUGACUUAAAUGAGUAACCGUCUCGCAAUAAACAAGAUCCAGAUAUAAUGUUCAUGCUUAGCGCAGGCACUACAUAACAAUUAUUUAAGUUCAUAACUAAUCGUGAUGGUAACUGAAGUGAGACUGUGCCGACGGUGAUUGCAUCAACCUUGGAACCAUUUCCCACGCGCAUCGUCACUUCAUCCUUUGCGAGCCUUCGUUUAUUCCGGAGUUCCUGCUUCGAGUUGCAAAUAUGAGAAACAGAACUGGUAUCAAAUACCCAGGCACUACUACGAGAGUUGGUUAAGUACACAUCAAUAACAUGUAUAUCACAUAUACCUGAUUUUUCUUUGGCCGCCUUCUUAUCAGCCAAAUACUUGGGGGCAGUUGCGCUUCCAGUGACCCAUCCCCUUGCAAUAAUAACACUCAGUUUCUGUCUUAGGUCCAGCCUUGGGUUUCUUCGUCGGAUUGGCAACAAGUUUGCCCCUCUUCUUGGAGUUACCCUUCUUGCCUUUGCCGUUUCUCUUGAAACCAGUGGUCUUAUUGACCAUCAACACUUGAUGCUCUUUCCGAAGUUCUAACUCUGCGACUUUCAGCAUCGCAAAUAACUUGCCGGGUGACUUGUUCUUCCCUUGCAUGUUAUAGUUCAACACGAAGCUCUUAUAGCUAGGUGGCAGUGAUUGAAUAAUUCUUUCAGUGAUAGCCUCUUGCGGGAGUUCAAUCCCUAGCUCAGGUAAACGGUUUGAGUACCCAGACAUUUUAAGCACAUGUUCACUGACAGACGAAUUCUCCUCCAUCUUGCAAGCAUAUAAUUUAUCACAGGUCUCAUAUCUCUCGACCUGGGCGUUCUUCUGAAAGAUAAACCUCAACUCCUGGAACAUCUCAUAUGCUCCAUGACGCUCAAUGCGACGUUGAAGCCCCGGUUCUAAGCCAUACAAGACUGCACAUUGAACUACUGAGUAGUCCUCCUUACGCUAUUGCCAAGCGUUCAAAACAUAUUGGUCAGACGUAGCGGGUGGUUCAUCUCCUAACACAGCAUCAAGGACAUAAUUCUUUUUUCCAGCUUGUAGGAUGAGCCUAAGAUUACGAGCCCAGUCGACAAAGUUGCUUCCAUCAUCUUUCAACUUAGCUUUCUCUAGGAACGUAUUGAAAUUCAGGGUUGCUACUGCGUGAGCCAUUGAUUUACAACAUAAAAUAUUGCAAAGUGGACUUAGACUAUGUUCAAGACAAUUAGAGUUUAACUAAUCAAAUUAUUAAUGAACACCCACUCAAAAAAUACAUCCCUCGUGUCGUUUGAGUGGUGCAUGAUCCAAAUUUACUAUCUCAAGUCCGAUCAUCACGUGAGUUGAGUAUAGCUUUAGUGGUAAACAUCUCUAUGCUAAUCAUAUCAACUACAUGAUUCAUGCUUGACCUUUCGGUUUCAUGUGUUCCGAGGCCAUGUCUGCACAUGCUAGGCUCGUCAAGUUUAACCCGAGUGUUCCGUGUGUGCAACUGUUUUGCACCCGUUGUAUGUGAACGUUGAUUCUAUCACACCCGAUGAUCACGUGGUGUCUCGAAAUGAUGAACUGUCGCAACGGUGCACAGUCGGGGAGAACACAAUUUCAACUUGAAAUUUUAGUGAGGGAUCACCUUAUAAUGCUACCGUCGUUCUAAGCAAAAUAAGGUGCAUAAAAGGAUUAACAUCACAUGCAAUUCAUAAGUGACAUGAUAUGGCCAUGAUCUUGUGCUUAUUGAUCUCCAUCACCAAAGGACCGGCAUGAUCUUCUUGUCACCGACACCACAACAUGAUCUCCAUCAUCAUGAUGUCCAUCAUCGUGCCGCCAUUGAGGUUGCCGUGCUAUCUAUGCUAUUACUACUAAAGCUACAACCUAGCAAUAUAGUAAACACAUCUGCAAACACAAACGUUAGUUUAAAGACAACCCUAUGGCUCCUGCCGGUUGCCGUAGCAUCGACGUGCAAGUCGAUAUUAACUAUUACAACAUGAUCAUCUCAUACAUCCAAUAUAUCACAUCAUGUCUUUGGCCAUAUCACAUCACAAGCAUACCCUGCAAAAACAAGUUAGACGUCCUCUAAUUUGUUGUCGCAUGUUUUACGUGGUUGCUAUGGGUAUCUAGUAUGAUCGCAUCUUACUUACGCAAAAACCACAACAGAGAUGUGCAAAUUGCUAUUUAAACUCUCUCCAAGGACUGCCUCGGUCAAAUCCAAUUCAACUAAAGUUGAAGAAACACGCACCCGCCAGUCAUCUUUAUGAAACGAGUUGCAUGUUGGUCGAUAAAACUAGUCUCUCGUAAGUGUACGAGUAAUGUCGAUCCGGGCCGCUUCAAUCCAACAAUACCGCCGAAUCGAGAAAAUACGAAGGAGGGCAGAAAAUCAAACAUCAACGCCCACAAAACCUUUUGUCUUCUACUCGAGAGACAUCUAUGCAUGAACCUAGUUCAUGAUGCCACUGAUGGGGAACGUUGCAUGGGAAACAAAAAAAAAUCCUACGCACACGAAGACCUAUCAUGGUGAUGUUCAUCUACGAGAGGAGAUGAGAUCCACAUACCCUUGUAGAUCGCUAAGCGAGAAGCGUUAAGAAAUGGAGUUGAUGUAGUGGUACAGCUUCGUGAUUCAAAUCACCGUCGUCCCACGAUCCGUUCCGAUCUAGCGCCGAACGGACGACACCUCCACGUUCAGCACACGUACAGCUCGGUGACGAUCUCAGCCUUCUUGGUCCAGCAAGAGAGACGGAGAACUAGAUUAGUUCUCCGGCAUCAUGACGGCGUGCCGGUGGUGGUGAUGAUGUACUCCUGCAGGGCUCCGCCCGAGCACCGCACAAAUCCGAUCUAGAGGAAGAACUACGUGGUAUAGGUUUGAGUUUCCCUUGGCAAAGUUGUGUCUCAAAAGCCCUAAAACCACCAAUAUAUAUAGGAGGAGGGGAGGGGAUAGUCUUGGGGCUCAAGGGAUCCCCAAAGGCACCGGCCGAUUGGGAGGAGGUGGAUUCACUCCCCAAUUCUGUUUGGGGGAAGGAGUCCACUCCUUCCUUCCCACCUCCCUCUUUCCUUGUUUUUUCUUUUCCUUUGGUUUUUUCCACUUGUGGCGCCAUAGCCCUCUUGGGCUGGCCUCACCAGCCCACUAAGGGCUGGUGCGCCACCCUAGGGUCACUGGGCUCACUCCUGGGUGGGUGGGCCUCUCCCGGUGAAUACCCGAAACCCAUUCGUCACUCCCGGUACACUACUGGUAAUGCCCGAAAACUUUCCCGUGACCAAAUGAAACCAUCCUAUAUAUCAAUCUUAAUUUCCAUACCAUUACGGAAACCCUUGUGACGUCUGUGAUAUUAUCCGAGACUCCGAACAACCUUCGGUCAGCAACACAUAUAACUCAACUAUACUAAAACAUCAUCAAACCUGAAGUGUGCAGACCCUGCGGGUUCGAGAACUAUGUAGACAUGACCCAAUACACUUCUCGGUCAAUAUCCAAUAGAGGGACCUGGAUGUCCAUAUUGGAUCCUAUAGGUUGAACGUUUGUGCCAAGGAUUCAUAUAAUCCCGUAUAACAUUCCCUUUGUCCUUCGGUAUGUUACUUGCCUGAGAUUUGAUUGUCGGUAUGCGUAUACCUAUUUCAAUCUCGUUACCAACAACUCUCUUUACUCGUUCCGUAAUACAAGAUCCCAUGACUUACACUUGAGUCACAUUGCUUGCAAGGCUUGUAUGUGAUGUUGUAUUACUGAGUGGGCCCCGAGAUACCUCUCCGUCACACGGAGUGACAAAUCUCAGUCUUGAUCCAUGCUAACUCAACGGAUACCUUAGGAGAUACCUUUAGAGCACCUUUAUAGUCACCCAGUUACGUUGUGACGUUUGAUACACACAAGGUAUUCCUCCGGUGUCAGUGAGUUACAUGAUCUCAUAGUCAUAGGAAUGAAUACUUGACACGCAAAAACAAUGGCAACAAAAUGACACCAUCACAUGCGACGUUCAUAGUUUGGGUCUAGUCCAUCACAUGAUUCUCCUAAUGAUGUGAUCCAGUUAUCAAGUGACAACACUUGCGUCUGAUCAGAAAACGUUAACCAUCCUUGAUCAACUGGCUAGCCAACUAGAGGCUUGCUAGGGACAUUGUUUUUUCUAUAUAUCCACACAUGUAUCUAUGCUUUCAUUCAAUAAAAUUAUAGCAUGGAUAAUAAACGAUUAUCGUGAAACAGGAAAUAUAAUAAUAACUAUUUUAUCAUUGCCUCUAGGGCAUAUUUCCAACAAGUAUGUCUAGAGAGGGGGUGAUAAGACUACUUGGCCAAAUAAAAACUUAUAUUUUUUCGAAUUUUAGUUGUAUGCUACUUUUAGCAAUUAUAACAAGUCAAGCAACACCCUACACAUGAAAGUCUAAGAUUUGAGCAACGGAAAAUAGAGAAAUUGCAUAUGUAUAUAAAGGAGAGAUCGUUGAUGGAGACUUCAACCCAUGAAGGGUUAUGGUUGCACGAGUCCACAUAGGGCUCCACCCAUGAAGGGUCCACGAUGAAGCAACCUUGUCUUUGCCAUCAUGGCAUACAUCCAUGAAGGACUAGCCUCACCUAGGUUAGAUCUCAAUGAAGUAGGGAAUCUCUUUGCCCUUAUAAAAUUAUGGGUUCAGCUUCACAUGAUUUGGAGGCUCGCAAGCGACACCUAACCAAUCUAGGAGACACCACUCUCCACAUGGUGAUAGAUGUUGUGUCGAUGAAGAACUCCUUUUGUCUUGUGCUUCAAAAGAUAGUCUCCUCCACACUCAAUCACUCUAUCACAUAUUUUGGCUUAGUAGAAGAGACGGAUUGGGUGCAAAGCACUUGGGCAAGCUAGAAAUGAAGGACCUUAUGGUUGGAAUGGAAUCCUUUAAUCUCAACACAUGAGUAGGUGGUUCUCUCUUAUAAAAUGGAACUGAAGGUAUAUGCUUCAUCCCGGUUGCUCUCUAUGAGAGUGGAUUGUGGUGGAGGGGUAUAUAUAGCCUUCACCAAAAAUUCAUCCGUUACUACUUUAUGCUCAACUUGGUGACACCAAAAUCAAAUCUGAGUAGGACCAACUAGUGCAAAAGGUUCAAACUUAUGGCUUUUCAGUGGGACCGAACAAAUCCACCCGAUCAGACCAAUUUCUGCGAUAAAUUAAGCUAUUGCCACGUUUCGGUAAUUUCGAUCGGUUCAUCUCGGAAAUUUCAAGAUGAAAUCAAUCAAUUACAACAACUUGGUCACUAUACUUUGGUGGGAUCGAAGGCCAUCUCGGUUGCACCAAGUUUUAUGGUUUGGCUUUGUUUAUUUGUCUUGGUUGGCUCGGUGGGUACAUAAGAUGUUUUCCAUGGGAUCAAGUUUGACUUUAGGGUUUUGGAAAAAUGGAACUAAGAAAGUGGUUGAGAGUAUUUGGUGGAAACUCUCUAAUCACUUGAGCAAUCGAGUCCUCAUAAAAACCUCAUCCCCUCUUAAUAGUAUUGUAUUUCCUAUGGAAUAAGUGUGAUCAUUGAUCACCUAAUGUAAAAUGUAGAGUCUUAAAGAUUUUGCCAAUGUGUUUCCUUUGAAUGUUGAGGACUACACAAUCACAUAUACUAGCCAUGCCAAUCAUUGAAUUUAUCCUGAAAACAUAUUUGAGUACUUGAUACGUCCCAAAUGUAUCUACUUUUCCAAACACAUUUUGUCUUGUUUUGCACUCUAAUUUGCAUGAAUUGAAUGGAACUAACUUGGACUAGCAUUGUUUUUAACAGAACUACCAUGGUGUUGUUUUUAUGCAGAAACAGAAGUACUCAGAUUAGGCUAAAAAUUUAUGAAGAAUAUUUCGAGAAUAUAUAAAAAAUUAUUGGCAAAGAGAACUAUCGAAGGGGGCUACCAGGGAUCCACGAGCUCAUGAGGCACCCACCCCUAGGGUGCGCCAUGCUGGCUCAUGGGUCUCACAGACCUCCGUUUGUCCGAACUCCAACUCCAUAACUACCAUCUCACGAAGAGAAAAAUGAGAGAGAAACUUCCAUCGCAUUCUAUGACAUGUUCUCGAUGCCACCUGUUGUUUUUUAUUGGGGCUGAUCUUGAGUCCAUUUGGGGCUCCAGAGAAGGGGAUUCAUUGUUGUCCUCAUCACCAAACCUUCUCCAUCAACUAUUUCAUGAUACUCACCAUCGGGAGUGAGUAAUUCCUUCGUAGGCUUGUGGACAGUGAUGGAGUUGGAUGAGAUUUGUCAUGCAAUCGAGUCAAUUUGUUAGGACUUGAUCCCUAGUAUCCAUUGUGUUCUCACAUUGAUGUUGAUAUGACUUUGCUAUGCUUAAUGCAUGUCACAAGGGACAGGGUGCCAUGAUUUCAGAUCUGAACCUAUUAUGUUUCCAUCAAUAUGAGAGUGUUUUAGAUCUUAUCUUGCAAGUUAUAUGCACCUAUUAUUUGUUAUGACCCAUGACCCAAAGUGACAAUAGAUGGUAUCUUCUCCGAUGAUGCCCGUAGUAUGAGGAGUUCAUAUAUUCACCAUGUGUUAAUGCUUUGUUUCGGUUCUCUAUUAAAAGGAUGCCUUAAUAUCCCUUGGUUUUCCUUUGGACCCCGCUACCAUGGGAGGGUGGGACAAAAGAUGUCAUGCAAGUUCUUAUUAUAAGCAUGUAUGACUAUGUUUGGAAUACAUGCCUACAUUACAUUGAUGAAUUGGAGCUAUUGUGUAUCGCUCUAGAUUGUGACUGUCACAUGAUGAAUGGCAUCCAACAUAAAUAUCAUCACAAAUUUUUUAGGCCUACUAUUUUCUCUUAUUGAUGUUUGUUAAGUUACUAAUGUUGAUGUUGUUACAAUCAUCACAAAUUGCAAUUAUUCAUGUUCCUAUUACUAUUGCUAUCGUUAUUGAAACCAUCGAAACUAUCAAACUAAUGUACUACUAGACACUAUGCUACAGAGAUAUUAUAUUCCAAGUGUGGUUGAAUUUAUGAUAACCCACAAGUGUAGGGGAACGUUUGUAGCUUUUUUGGUAAGAAGAGUCUCGAACCCAACGAGGAGCUAAAGGUAGAAUUAAUAUUCUCUCAAGUUCUAUCGACCAUCGAUACAACUUUACGCACGCCAGCGCUUACUUUACCUAGAACAAGUAUGAAACUAUUUCGCGGCAAGGAAACAAUAAGUACUUUGUAGGUGUAAUAGAUAGUUUUACUAGGUAAUAAAGAACAAGUAAAUAAAAGUUAGGUGUUGUUUAGAAAGAUUAAUAAGUAAGUUGUUUAGUAUAAAUCUUUUUUGUGUAAUGCAAGAGAAAGAUUGUCCAUAGGCAAUUGAAUAUAACAUGAUAGAUACUUAUCACAUGCAAUGAGGGACACACAUACGCUAACACACUUUCUGUACUUGGAUCAUAUGCACUUAUGAUUAGACCUCUAGCAAGCAUCUGCAACCACUAGAAUUCAUUAAGGUAAACCCAGUCAUAGCAUAAAACACCAAGUCCUCUUUACUCCCAUACGCACACAACUCCCUUACUUAAGUGUAAGCUUCUGUCACUCUAGCCACCCACUGUAAGAAAAUCAUGAACAUACUACAAACCCUCCAAUGUGAAUCUUCACGUGUGCACCUCAUCGAAGGAACCUUAGGACAACACCAUAUCAACGAACAAAUCAUAUAAAUAACAUUAUAUAACAAUUAACCCGUAGGAGAAAAUGAAUCUACUCAAACAUCAUAGGAUAUACGCACAUCAUUGGGUAAUAAUAUAUAGCAUUAAGCACCAUGUUUAAGUAGAGGUUACAGCAAGGAUAAGAGGGUUUACACUCCUGCACAAAAGGGGAGAGAUUGGUGGUGACGGCGACGAAGUUUCUUAAACAUCCAUGCCCACGAUGGCUCUUGAAGGGCAGCAACCUCUCCAAUUGGAUCUCUCUCUGUUUCUCUUCUAUUUUCGCGAUUUUUUUGGCCCUUCACCGUUUCUUACACAUACGGAGAUUCGUAACCGACCGGGCUGAAAUUUUGAGGGUGUUUUUAUCACGAAAAUAUCUUUCUUGCGACGGAAGGAGAGCCUCAACAUACUUAAGGGCUCGCCACAAGCCAUCAGGUUGCCCACCCCCUAGGCCACACCAUGUUGGCUUGUGGGGCCCUCGGGCAUCGUCUUGCGUUGAUUCCGACUCCCAAAAUUCACAUAUAUUCCAAAAAGUCUCCCUAAAGUUUUAUGAAAUUUGGACUUCAUUUGAUAUGGAAUUUCUGCAAAACAAAAAAAGCACAAAAAACACGAACUAUCACUAGGAACUGGGUAAGUAAGUUAGUCCCAAAAAUAAUAAUGUUGCAAAAGUAUAUGAAAAUUGUAGAAUAUUGGCAUGACAGAAUAAAAAAUUAUAGAUACGACACAGAUGUAUCAAUUGACAACUCAACUGCGAAGGAUCAUAGAUAUUGUUUGGAUCCCCUCGUGUCGAAUCAACAAAUUUGAGUGAAAUACUACCAUCGAAGACUAUCACGCCCCCCUAUACUUGUGGGUUAUCUAGACCUUUUUCUGGCGUCAUUGUGGGGAACAUAGCUUUAUUUAUUGAGUUCAUUUGGGAUAUCUAUUGGUCACUAUGAGUAAGUUGAAAGACUCCAAAACUUAGAUCGUUCCCUGUAAGACGAGGAGAGGUAAGGAACUGUCAUCUAGCUCCUCAUUCGAUUUACCUUCUGUUUUGAGUAAGCUUAUGACACCUCCACCUGCUAUUCAAUAUGAUAUGUCAGAAGUAAUAGACACUACUUCUACUAUGGAUGAUGUUCAUGAUGGUGCUACUACUAUGCUAGAUGAAACUGAAACUGUGCCACUAAGUGAAUUGUUCGAUGCUCAUAUUGCUAGAUCCAAAUAAAUUGAGAAUGCUAGACUGAUGAAAUUUUUAUUCACCCAUUAUGCCCAGCUCUCCUACUAGAGUUGAAAUGCGUGAGAUACCUCGUGGUUAUGUGAUCAUAAAAGAUAGUGUCGCUAAUAAAAGAAAUAUAACUAAAACUAAAAUGUCCACCAUGCUUGUAAAUUAUUCUUUUAAGGGGAGUGAGUACCUAAGAAGUUAGGAGAUUGAGGAAUACCCACUAUAACUUGCUCCAUUAAAAGAAAGUAUGUCAAAACUUCCUUAUGUGAUUUAGGAGCGGGUGACCAUCUACUUAUUGAGGAAAUAAACUUCACUAAAUAAUAUCAACUUAAACAAAUUGGGAUAAUUACUAUUAGAGGGUUAAAAUUUCCUCUUCGUACUAUCAACAAGAGAUAUGAAAUUCUUAUUGUUGGGGAAAUGCACAUCCCCAUUCAGGUAACUUAGUGUUAUAAGAAGAUUUUUUGGUUUCAUGUUAUUCACAAACAAAUUGUUAAUAAGGCAUGAUCAAUCGUAUUAAUGGAUUCUUUAUGGGCAUGUGCUCGAUAAAUUUAGUAAGCACAACCUGUUGUACCCAUAGUUUACUUUUUGUUAUUUAAAGGUUUAAUUAAGUAGAAUGCUAUUACCCCAUUUUCUUAAUUAUUUGUGCAAUAAAAAAUGUCCCCAAAAUAAAAGUUCUGGAAAUGACGUGAAAAUUUAGUAUGAUUUUUCCUAUAAUAUAUAUAAAUUUUUGGCACUGAACACACCCUAGGGGGUGCACCUGUGAGCCACGAGCUUGGAGGGCGCGCCAUGCAAGAUGGUGGGUCCCACGGGGACCCACUCAUUUAGUGCACCAUCCCAUUACCAUAUCAUACCUCCCAAAAAAAUCGUCCCUGCCUCCUAGCCCGAGUUCUUACUCAUUUUAAAGUGAUUUUUGAUCUCUUUGCUUUGUACUCUGUUUUUGUAACUAUUUCGAGGAAUUCCUCCUUGGUAUGUAACUCCUCCACUGCUCCAAUUAGUUUUGUUCUAGUGCUUGAUGUUUUGCAAAUCUUGCUACUGUAGGUGACCAUGUAUAUUAGCUUGUUAGAUGGUUCAAAAUAGUUUUGAUGCAUUAUACAGCCUCUAGACACUUGUGGGACUAGUUGAUAUCUUGUUGAGUUUAGUUCCCUUUUAUUUGGAAGGAGUAAAAAUUUCAAAGAAAAGGAUAAAAUAAUGAAGAGAUUCUUGAGACGUUCUUUGAGCUAGAGUUCCAAGGGAACAACACAGGAGAAGCCUAAGUACCAUCUUCCUCGCGCAACCGAGGUGUGAUCGUGCAAAUGGCCAUGCGACACAUUUCUAAGGGAUGUAGGAAUUCAUGAUGAUUUAUAUUAUUUGGUCGACCGAGCCAGACUCACUCCGUUCUUGGAAGAUAAGUGUGAUCAGUAUCUCCUCCUCACCAAUACUUUUCUGCAAAAUUUUCACUUUCAUGCUAGGAGAUUGGUACCCACCGUAUCAUUCCACUUAUAUGAAGAACAAAAGGAAAUGACGGAUGAUAAGUUCUCCCAAGUUCGCAAAAUUCCUAAUGAGGGCAGCCCUCUAGAGCCUCGUCCUAGAUACGUUCGGGAUUUUAUUUUUGCAGCGAUUGUGGGGGAUAAGAUAGGAGUUUCUGGUGCUAGUGUCAUUAGUUUGCAUUUUCCUAUUUUACAUUAUUGUUCAUUUUUUGCUCGUAGGUGCAUUACCGGUAGGUGGGAGAGCAGAACACUCAGCUCGCCUGACCUUGCUAUCUUAUGUAGUGCACUCUAUGGUGAUAGUACUUUUAGUUUGGGAGCUAUUUCCGCACAACGGUUGCACACCAACCGCUCAAAGGGUGUCAUCUAUGGUUGUAUUUAUGCCUGUCUCCUAGAGAAUUUGAGAUUCCUAUUAGGUAUAGGAAGGAUGAGAUCUUAACUACUAAAUAUAUCGAUUAUGGUAUCAGGGUUGGGAAUAACUUUAUUGAUUUUGGUAUAACUUGGUAUUUAGUGAGGAUUCUUGUGAGAAGAUUACUCUACCUGCACAGCCUUUGUUUCAUCUUUCCAGGGGAAGGCACACUAUUAUGGCUAAGGACAUUUACGCUUUUUGGGGCUUGACACCAUGAUACUUGUAAACUGUGUUGGAUUUUUCCUCGAAGAGGAGGGAGAUGCAGCACAAUACAGAUAAGUAUUUCCCUUAGAGAGCACCAAGGUUAUCGAACGAAUAGGAGAAUCAUGCUAACCCCCUUCGACAACACCUACACACACAUAACCAAACACUUGUGCCCAACGCAGACAAGAGGGUUGUCAAGCCCCUUGAACUCGUUACUUGCAAGGAUUAAAUACUGGUAGAUAGAUAAUAGAAAUAAAUAAAAUUAAAUAACAUUAAAUGAAUUGCAGCAAAGUAAUUUUUGAGGUUUUUUAGUUUUGUGUAAGUAGACCCGGGGGCCAUAGUUUUUAGUAGAGGCUUCUCUCUCGAACAUAGCAUACGGUGGGUAAAGAACUUACUAUUGGGAAAUUGACAGAAUAGCGCAUAGUUAUGACUUGAAAUUAACAACGAUGAUAAUGUAUAUAGGUAUCACGUCAAUAAAUAAUUAGACUGACUCCUUCUUGCAUCUACUACUAUUACUACACACAUCGACCGCUAUUCAACAUGCAUCUAGAGUAUUAAGUAUGAAACAGAGUAAUGCUUGGAGCAAGAUGACAUGAUGUAGACACAGUAAGACAAGCAAUAUCUUCACACCCCAUAGUUUUAUCCUUAAUUAUAGCAAUAAAAUACGUGUCAUGACCCUUUCUGUAAACUGGAAUUGAGCAAGGUGAGAUUGAACCCAUCACAAUGCAACGCUCCCACUAAAUAUAAAUCAAUCAAGUUGGCGAAAUCAAACCGAUAUAUCGGAAUGAAAUUCAAACCUAUAACAAUCAUGCAUAAAAUAUUUCAAAGAAGACUCAAUAUAUAUUCAUCAAUAAUCUGAUCAUAAACCCACAAUUCAUCGGAUUCCAACAAACACAUCGCAAAAUAUGAUUAAAUCGGAUACAUCACCACGGGAAUCACGGUGAACCUUGUAUUGAAGAUUAAAGAGGGAGAAGAAGCCAUCUAGGUACUAGCUAUGGACCCAUAGGUCUGUGGUGGACUAGUCACACAUCACCAUGGAGGCAACAAGGUUGAUGUAGAUGUCCUUGAUACGUUUCCAACAUAUCGGUAAUUUAUAAAUUAUUAAUGCCAUAUUUUCCUAUGUUUACAAUACGUUUAUAUUGCUUUAAUGCACUUUAUAUGAUUUAUUUAGAAUUAACCCGGACUAGCAUUGUUUUGAGCAGAAUUACUGUGGUUUUGUUUUUGUGCAGAAAAUAAAUGUGCCCGGAAUUCCCCGAUUUGUUUUUAUGAUUUUUUAUGGAUAAAAUAAUAAAUACCAGAGUGAAGAACCGUCGAAGGGGCCUAUUUGUGGCCAAAAGCUAACAGGACGCGCCCUGAUGUGUGAUGGGGCCCACGUGGCUCUGUUUGACGUGUUUCCAAUGCUAAAAAAUCCUAUACAUACCAAAACUCUCUAUAUCAAAGAAAACCCUAUAUGGAGCCUUUCCAGUACUCUGCCGGAGGGCGAAAUCAUCUCUGGUGGCCAUCUUCAUCAUGUCGGCGGGGGCCAUGAUGAGAAGGGAGUAGUUCAUCCUCGGUGCUGAAGGUAUGUACUAUAGCUAUGUGUUUAAUCUCUCUCUCUCCCUCUCUCUCGUGUUCUUGAGAUGGCACAAUCUUGAUGUAUCAUAGGUUUUGUUAAUAUGGUUGAUCAUAUGGUGUUCUUCCCUUGCCAUCUUGUUGUGAUGAAUUGAAUCUUUCCCUUUGAGAUCUCGUUAUGUUGGAUUGAAUAUUUUGGGUUUGAGAACACUUGAUGUAUGUAUUGCAUGCGGGUACUCGUAGUGACAACGGGGUUUUCUAUUGGUUCACUUGAUAUUGGUUAUGGCCAAACUUGCGGAUUUCGAUGACCUUGGGGAUCUAUGCAUAGGGGUUGGUUGCAUGUUCUCAUUCUACCUUCUCUAAUAGAAAUAUUGGGGUACUCUUUGAAGUUCUUUGUGUUGGAUUGAAAAUGACGAAUUUGAAAUUGUUUGAUGCAUUUCAAAUAAUUAUCCAAUGGAUACUUGAGGUGACAAUGCAGUAUCUAGGUGACAUCAGGAUUGAUUAAUAUGUAUCAUAGGUGUUAUUCUAGUAUGAACUCUAGAGAUGUUUGUGACACCUACAGGAAUAUCCCAAAAGAUUGAUCGCAAAGAUUAACUUUCAGGUGGUUCGCUGCCUACAACAACUUCUUAUUAUGUUCUCCGCUAAUAGGAACUUUGGAGUGAUUCUUUGUUGCAUGUUGAGGGAUGGCCAUAUGAUUCUACUAUGUUACCAGUGUUGAGAGAUGGCACUAUUGAAAGUAUGAACUGUAAGCCUUGUUUCUAAGCAUUAAUAUACCAUUCUUCUCGCUGUUUACUACUUGUUACCUUACUAUUUUUAUUUAUUCAGAUUAUAAAAAUAUAUUUCUACAAUCCAUUCUACACUUGUAUCACCAUCUGUUCGCGAAACUACUGCACCUAUACAAUUCGCCAUUGUAUUGGGUGUGUUGGGGACACAAGGGAUUUCUUGUAUUUGAUUGCAAGGUUGCUUGAGAGAGACCAUCUUCAUCCUACACCUCCCAUGGAUUGAUAAUCCUUAGGUCAUCCACUUGAGGGAAAUUUGAUGCUGUCCUACAAAACUCUACACUUGGAGGCCCGACAACAUCUACAAGAAUGAAGUUGCAUAGUAGACAUCAGGCCUCCGGGAUCGAUUCCCCCUUCGGCAGGGCACCGAAAAAGUUCUCCACAUGGACUCCCAUCGGAACAGAAACUUGCGACGGCAGAAAAAAAAGUAUUUCAGGUGGCUCUUUGUUGGUUUCCUGAUUUUAGAGAAUUUAUGGAGGUGGAAAUAGGUUAGGCGAAGUCGCGAGGGGACAACAAGGAAUUAGGGCAUGUCUACCCCCCUCGACGCACCCUGUUUCCUUGUCGUAUCCUCGUUUGUUGUUUGGUCUCCUUCCGAAGCUUCUAGGUCCUAUUUUGUUCAUAAAAAACCAUCAAAAAGUUUUGUAGAAUUUGCACUUUGUUUGGUACUAAUUUCCUGGAAAACCAAAAAGAAGAAGAAAACAUCAAUUGGCACUAGGCACUCGAUUGAUAACUUAGUUUCCAAAAAUGAUAUAAAAUAGCAUAUGAUUGCAUAUAAAGCAUCCAAGAUUGUUAAUAUAAUAGCAUGGAAAAAUUUAAAAUUAUCGAUACGUUGGAGAUGUAUGACAACACCCGAGCACCUGAGCCUACAUAUCGGUGGGAGGCUCUGGAGCCUUCCUAUUAGUGGGAGACUUAGGAGCCUCACUAUUACCCUCGACCUGAUUAUUUCGAGUUGUGGCCAUAUACCAAGUUAGGCCAAAAUCUUAGGAGUAUGUAUUUCUCAUCGACAUUACAUUCAUGUACCAUGCAUUCAUUCCUGUUGUCGGUGUUCAUCCUCUUUCAUUGUAUAUCCAUGUUGAGUUUUAUUUUUGGUUUCUUUGGUGUGUUUGAAAACUUCCGAAAAUAAAAAAAAUGUUUGUUUUUGGUUUUUCUUUCUUGCUUUUCUAGUUUGUAGUAUUAAAAAUAAAACUCAAACAUAGUUCCUAUUCUUAUUUUUUUUGUUGGGAGAUUUCUUGUGUAAAUAGUUGUUCUCAUUUCUUGUCUUUCUUAUAUUCUAUUUGCUCUCUUCUAAAAAACUAAAAACUCCAAAAACAUUUUAGUAUGUUUCUCUGAUAUUCUUUUCUUUUGUUUGAGCUGUCGUGAGGAGAAGACCAUGUUAAAAUUGUUGAGUGGCUCUUAUAUGCAAUAUUGCUCAUCUAAUAGAGCCAAUAUUACCUUGUUUUCUCCUUCGAAUAAAUUGUUUCGUAGAUUCCAUCUUAGUCCACGACACACUUGCACUAUUAGUAUUUUUACAUCAUUCAGUCAUGCAAGUGAAAGGCAAUAAUGAUGAUGACUUGAUGAAGUCUAUGCGGUGAAGGGAAGUUGGUCCGAACUCUUAUCUUUUUUGUUUUUGUAAAUAUGUUUAGCUUAGCCGAUAUUGAUUUAACAUAUUUUGUGUAAACAUGCUUGUGAUGAAAAUUACAGUUUAUAGUUUCUCAUGCUAUGCUUAAUUAGGUAGGAGUGAAUACCGAUUCAUCUUGUGUGUCAACAUGCAUUAAAAUGAUUGUGAUGUAGUAUGUUGGUAUAGUAUCCUCCUCUCAAUAAUUCAAGUGUCUUGACUUGGCACAUGUUCAGACAUGUAGUUGAUUCAAAACCAAUGUAUCCUUCAUGAUAUUUAUGUUCGAAAUGUUUAUAUCCUUCCCAUACUCAUAUUAUGUGUUAAAAAUUUCAUAAUGCAUGAUUAUGAUCAUUGUCACUCUCUAGUUGUCGGCUUCUCAAUCUAUUUUCUAGCCUUCACUUGUACUAGGCGGGAAUACUGCUUGUGCAUCCAAAUUCCUAAAACCCAAAGUUGUUCCAGAUGAGUCCACCAUACCUACCUAUCUGCUGUAUUACUCUGUUGUUCUAAGUAAAUUUGCAUGUGCCACCUCCAACAAUUCAAACAGACAUUCUUUUUGUGUGCGUGUAUCAGUCAUGUAGCGACGAGGCGGUCAAUUUUUUCCAUGCUAAGCGGGUUAUUCUGAUGAGGGUGUUUAUUCAACUAUCAUUGCACGAGAGAGGUUGGUAAUUGGGAUGUUGAUUCCUGUAAUCAAAAACAAAAAAUGUAAUAAAACAAACUCCCCCUGGAAAGUUGAUUGUUUAGAGGGCACCCAUAAAUUAGGCUAGACAUGGCUUGUGUUUGUAUGGAUGAGUGGGAGUAAAAUUUACCUUUCCGCUUGGGAACCGCUGAUAAUGUGUUUAGCAUGGAACAUAUCAAAAUCCUUUUUCAUAAUAUUCAACUCUGAGCUUUGGCACCUCUCCAAAUCCCUGCUUCCCUCUGCGAAGGGCCUUUCUAUUUUAGAUUUAUUGUUGAGUGAAAACCUUCUCAUUAAAGCACUAACUUUGAGAGUGCUAUUGUCAUUCUUAUGCAUUGAGUAUAAUUAAUAUUGAAUGCGAACAUCAUUGGAUCUAUCUACCGAGAAUUAAAAUGUUUAGUUGUUUCUUAAACUUCAGAGGUGCUCUCCAUUUAUGUUUUGCAGCUUCAGAAAGGGCUAGCCAUAUACCAUGUUAUCAUAUUAUAUCAUGAUUGUUUUCACAAAUUGCUAGCAUCCCAGAUAUCUUAUUAUUGCUCUCUAGUUGGUUAUGUUAUUCUUAUUAGAGGAUAUGAGAUCUAAAUGUUAUCAUUCAUAUGGAUAGUUCAGAAUCUUUGCUGAAAACUGGAACACUAGUUAACCUUAUAUAUAGCUACGAGAACAAAAGAGUUUGUAAAAGUGUUUCUUUUUCACUUUGAGUUUGUCAACUGAAUUGCUUGCACACAAGAAAGGAGUUACGCUUGAGGGAGCUGAUAUGUCCCAAAUAUAUCUACAUUUCAUAACACGUUUUCUCUUAUUCCGAACUCUAAUUUUCAUGAUUUGAAUGAAACUAACCCGGACCGACAUUGUUUUUUAGCAGAACCACCAUGGUCUUAUUUUUGUGCAUAAAUAAGAGCUCUCAGAUUGGGCUAAAAAUUACAGAGAAUAUUUCCACGACAUAUAAAAAAUAGUGGCAACGAAAACUAUCCAAGGGGGCCCACCAGGGAGCCACGAGCUCACGUGGCACACCACUCCCCUAGGGCACGCCAUGGAGGCUUCUGGGACCCAACUCCUGUUUUCCCUAACUCUGAUGCCAUAUGUAACGUAUCAUGGAGAAAAAAAAUCAAAUACAAACUUUCAUCGAGUUUUAUGAGACGGAUUUGCGCCAACCUUAUGUUCUUCAACAGGAUGGCUGACGUGGAGUCCGUUUGGGGCUCCAUAGAGGGGGAUUCAUCGUCUUCGUCAUCACCAACCUUCUCCAUCAACAAUUCCAUGAUGCUCACCACCAGGUGUGAGUAAUUCCUUCGUAGGCUUGUUGGACGGUGAGGGAUUUGGAUGAUAUUUAUCAUGUAAUCGAGUCAAUUUGUUAGGGCUUGUUCCCUAAUAUACACUAUGUUCUCAGAUUGAUUUUGCUAUAACUUUGCUAUGCUUAAGGCUUGUCACUAGGGCUCGAGUGCCAUGAUUUUAUAUCUAAAACUGUUAUGUUUCCACAAAUAUGGGAAUGUUAUCCUAUCUUGCAAGUUAUAUGCACCUAUUGUGUGUUACGGUCCGUAGACCCCCAAAGUGACAAUAGUUGCGAUCCUUUGCGGUGAUGACCUUAAUAUGAGGAUUUCAUGUAUUCACCAUGUGUUGCUGCUUUGUUCCAGUUCUGUAUUAAAAGGAGGCCUUAAUAUGACUUAGUUUCCCUUUGGACCCCGCUCCAACUCGAGGGUAACCAAAGAUGUCAUGCAAGUUCUUAUUAUAAGCAUGUAUGACUAUAUACAGAAUACAUGCCUUCAUUACAUUGAUGAAUUGGUGAUGUUGUAUAGCUCUAGGUUGUGAAUGCUACAUGAUGAAUGUCAUCCAACAUAAAUAUCCUUUAGUAAUCUAGUGCCUAGGCUCUUAUCAUAUUUUUCUUUGCUAAGUUACUAUUGUUGUUGUAGUUGUAAUCAUCAUAAACUGUUAUUGUUAUUGUUCAUAUUACUAUGCUACUGUUACUGAAAGCAUCAAAAGUAUCAAACUAUUGCGGUACUAAAUACUUUGUGCACAGAUAUUAUACUCCGUGUGUGGUUGAAUUUACAACUCAACUGCUAAGGCUCAUAAUUAUUGGUUGGCUCCCCUUGUGUAUGAAAGAAAAAUUGCUCCCUAAGGUGGUUUUGGUAGUUAAGAACAACAUAUGUAUCAUUAAACUAAUGAUUCUAUCCAAGUAUAUUUUAGAAGAUUUCAAAGAUGCAUUGGCUAAAGGAUUGUGAGGAGAAACCCCUUGAUGCAAGGAAAAUGAAUAGGAUUGGCAAAGCUUCAAGCAAGAGGAAAUCCAAUAAUAUUAAAAUGGGGUGACGUACUUAUGAUGAAUUGGUUGCUCAAGUUCUCAGAUAUAGGUACCAAAAAUCCUUAGCAUUUCUCUCACAAAAUUCUCUGUCCAAAGCCUACACAUCAAAAUCGGUAGCGACCCGACUCAACGAGUCAAGCCUCUGGUGUUUCCGUACCAUCCCAAGAUCAUGCUGGUACACACACAGUACAUAAUGUAUAUAUUCAGGAGUGCAAUCACACAACUUUAUUAAUCAAAAUCUCAUAAAGAGUACUUUAUUACAAUAAAGGAGUACAAUAAAGUGGCUGAAGGCCAUCUCAUGAGAUUAUCUAACGAAGACUAAGCGGAAGCAUCAGGUAGACGAGUCCAUCCGACUCCAAGGGCAUGUUGCUGAGCGUAGAACCGUAGCCUCACUCCUGGUCGGAAAAGUACUCUGCAACAUGAUACGUUGCAGCCGUGUAGGUCAGCAUAUUGAAUAUGCUAGCAAAUCAUCAAGAGACGGAGUAAAAUAGUAAUCAACUAUCUCUACAUGCAUAUUUGGCCGGUGGAGCUAAGUUUUGCAUAAAGCCAGUUUUAUCCUACAACAAAAGGGGUCGAAAGCAAAAUAUUACUACAUGUUUGUUGUUAAGGAGAUGGUUCCGCCAACCAGUUCUCGUACCCGAAUAGUUGUUAACACCCACAUCAUUAUUAAGUUGUGUCGAGAGUUCAGGGGAAAUUCAAUGCCUUCGGCUCAAGUUGUCCAUGACCGUGGACACGGCUAAUCGAUUAGGUUGAGUACUCUGCAGAGUUUUGCACACGUUCCCCACAAGAUUUGAUCGCCUCCGGGUUUGUCCUCGCACUUCAGGGUGUUUGAAGACCGGAUGAUCAAAACAUGGUCUUUCAACGGGUCCCUCUGAAUCCCUGUCGGUGCCCAUCCAUUCCUACUGUUCUUCUACAUCUGCUAGCACCGCCUGUCCAGAGUCGCCGCGUUGUCCAACCAAGCCAGAGCCCAUAAUGACUUGUGGCUGUGCAGGUAAGCCUUGAGUCUUGAAAAUAUCCGUCCGUCUCCUUGAGCCUGGGUGAAGCUUUCCGCAGGAUGACAUGGCCUCUCCAGCAUCCCGGGCAUCCACUGGGUUUUCCAGGGAGCCGAUCAACCGUCCUUCACCCAGUGUUGCAUUUGCGUCCGAGGUCUUGAAAAUCUUGUCUUAGUCCGGUCUUGAUUAUUAUAUCAACCUCGCAUCACUCGUGGUAUACACUCAACCGAUACCCGUCUACUUAAGCAUAGCAAGUAUAAUAUUGUCGUCCCGGGGCCAAGUAUCGGGGUUGUUGUGUUCCUACCACAUGAUACUACAACUUACACUAAAGUUUCCAAGUACCUAGGCAGCAUGCAAAUUGUGCAAAGAAGGUGAUCUACUAUGCAUCGAAAACAUAGGUAAAAUAACAUGAUCAAAGAUGACUUGUCUUGAUGAUAGUUGUCCUGCUCAAGCGUCUCUAAGUAACACGCUUCGCACUUCGGAUGAUCUACCGAUACAAACACAAAGCACACCCUAAGCAAUUCAAUCAUGCCACAAGUAAAAAUAACAUCACAUGCAAUGAUUUGCAAAAGACUACGCAAAAGAAUUUAUCGUGCGCCGGUAGGGCAGAAACUUGUUUCUGUUGAAAACACCAGUAAAAAUACUGUAAAAAUUCUGAAACUUCUACCACAGUAAUAUUUUAUCACUAGAAAAUAGUAGCAAAAAGAAUCAACUCAAUAUCAUUUUUCAAACUCCUGGAAUAGGCAAAACAGUGUUUAAACUAAAUCUGCUCUAACUUAUAUUUAAAAAUUUCAAACAUAGACAAAUUAUAUGUUUUUACAAACUGCAUGAAAUUUGUGAGCUACUGGAAAAAGAAUCAAUGUCAAUGGACGUAGGGAUAAAAAGUUGUGGCCAAAACAAAAUUGAAAGUUUCUGUUUUUGUAAACUGGACAGGAAGUUAGAAAACUGCUAGUGCUAAAAGAGAGGCUCACGUGGCAAGUUUCUACUGGCUGCAGUGGCUGUUUGUUGAAUAGCUUCGGGCAAACGGCCUAAGGCUAGCAAAGUCGCCGGUUAAUACUUAAGUGGCAAGAAAAACCUACUGGUUUUCUGAGAAUAACCGAAGGGUUACUAGUGUUCUAAUCCUAGCCAUUGCAUGGGAUUGCAUGGGAUCUAAGGGCUGAGAUUGAGUGCAUGCAAUAUAUAUAUAGAGAGAGAGGUUGCUACCUUCUGGGCAGAGGUGUUGCACCGGCGAGGGGGAGUUGGCCGGCGAGGGAGGAGCUCCGGGGCGGGGUUGAAGGCUUCGGGGAGGCGGCGGCGGAGGUGCUCCUCCUCGGGGGAGGCGCGGUGGAGAGAGAGCUCGGGGGGGNNNNNNNNNNNNNNNNNNNNNNNNNNNNNNNNNNNNNNNNNNNNNNNNNNNNNNNNNNNNNNNNNNNNNNNNNNNNNNNNNNNNNNNNNNNNNNNNNNNNNNNNNNNNNNNNNNNNNNNNNNNNNNNNNNNNNNNNNNNNNNNNNNNNNNNNNNNNNNNNNNNNNNNNNNNNNNNNNNNNNNNNNNNNNNNNNNNNNNNNNNNNNNNNCGUGGAGGCGUGGCGGGGUGAAGUGGCGGCGGUGGCUAGGGUUGGGGGAGGGGUAGCCGAGGGGAGGGGGGUUUAUAUAGGCCUAGGGGGUGGUAUAAGGGAGGAGGAGAUCGCGGGAGAGAGGAGAGCUCGGUCUGGUCUCGGUAGAGAAGGAAAGAGAGGAGAGGCAGAGAGGAAAGAAGAGAUCGCGGGGCUUGGCAGGAGAGGAGGGAGGCGGUGGAGAGAGAGAACUGGGGAAGUCUCGGUCUGGGCAGAGAGAAGGAAAGGGAGGGAAUCGCUGGGAGGGUGCGGUCUUUGUUGGAGAAAAUAGGAAAGAGAGGGAGGAAGGAGAAGAGAGAGGGAGUUACGUGGGGCAUGCUGUGUAUGUGGAUGCAUGCCUCGUGCAUGGGGCUCGUGGGGGCGGCUGGGCUGAGCCCUUUGGCUCGGCCUGGCAGUUUCCUUUUUUUUUGAAAAAGAACAAACAGCAGCAAAAAGAAAAAAAACAAUAAAAAAAAUAUUUCCUAGCUAACAAAUACUAGAAAAAUAGGUACUAGAAUACUUAGGAAAAACAAAAUAAUAUAUAUAUAAUAUAUAUAUAUAUACAAAUACAUAUAAUAUCUAUGGAAACCCUAGUUCCACCUAAUGCAAACUUUCGAAAAUGAGUUUUAUGCAAUAGGUCACACAACUCGAUUGAAAAACUCAACAAAAAAAUAUAAUUCGGAGUUUAGAAAAUUUGCAAAACCAAAUUGGUGACUUCAAUAAUAUUCGAAACGCUAUGCACUUGAAUUCGACGGGGGGGGGAGAAGUCAUAUUAUCUCCACUCCAAUAAAUUGCCCGCAGUCACAUAACGAUUAGAAUUUUCAGAAGAACACAAAUAUGCAUAAAAUAUGAGAUGCAUAUGAAUGAUCUAUUAACAUCCGAAUUUAAGAAAAUUGGGAUGUUACAAACCUACCCACCUUAAGAUGAAUCUCGCCCUCGAGAUUCAGGUUGGCUAGAAAAUAGGUGCGGGUGGUCUCGACGAAGAUCCUCUUCUCGUUCCCAGGUGGCUUCUUCCUCGGUGUGGUGGCUCCACAACACCUUGCAGAACUUGUUGAUCUUGCUGCGGGUAACUCUGUUGGCAGUCUCGAGAAUCCGGAUGGGUUUCUCCUCAUACGUCAGAUCAAUGUCAAGCUGUAUGGCCUCUCGGGGCACUGUAUCUCUCAACUGAACAUCGGCCAUCUCAGCAUAGCAUUUCUUCAACUGGGAAACAUGGAAGACAUCAUGAACUCCGGACAAUCCUUCCGGCAGUUCCAGUUUGUAUGCAACUUCGCCUCUACGUUCAAGAAUUUUGUAGGGGCCAAUGAAACGUGGUGCUAAUUUUCCUUUCACACCGAAUCUCUUGAUUCCUCGAAGUGGAGACACCCGAAGAUAUGCUCGGUCUCCCACUUCGUACGUUACUUCCUUGCGUUUGCUGUCAGCAUAACUCUUCUGCCUGGACUGAGCUAUCUUGAGUCGGUCACGAAUAAGCUUGACCUUCUCUUCAGAAUCUCGGAUAAGGUCGGGACCAAAAAGUUGUCGGUCUCCAACUCCAUCCCACAUCAACGGUGUUCUGCACCUCCUUCCGUAUAGAGCUUCGAAAGGGGCCAUCUUCAGACUGGUCUGGUAGCUGUUGUUGUAUGAGAACUCGGCAUACGGUAAAUUGUCAUCCCAACUAGACCCAUAGUCUAGUGCGCAAGCUCUCAACAUGUCCUCCAGAAUCUGAUUGACUCUCUCAGUCUGUCCAUCUGUCUGCGGGUGAAAUGUUGUGCUGAACUCCAAUCUCGUUCCCAAGGUUUCAUGCAGUUGGUGCCAAAAUUUGGAUGUGAACUGAGUCCCUCUAUUGGACACAAUGCUCUUUGGUACUCCGUGCAGACAUACGAUCCUCGUCAUAUAUAUCUUGGCCAGCUUGGCACUCGGGUAGGUAGUCUUCACCGGAAUGAAGUGAGCUACCUUGGUCAAACGAUCGACCAUAACCCAAAUAGAAUCAUAGCCAGAACGGGUCCGAGGUAAUCCUGUGAUGAAGUCCAUACCAAGCUUUUCCCAUUUCCAUUCGGGUAAUGGCAGAGGUUGGAGCAAACCUGCUGGUUUCUGAUGCUCGGCUUUUACUCGCUGACAAACAUCGCAUAUAGCUACGUACUCGGCAAUGUCUUUCUUCAAUCCUGUCCACCAGAAACUUUCUUUCAGAUCCAGAUACAUCUUGGUAUUACCGGGGUGUAUCGAGUACGGGGAAUCAUGAGCUUCCUGAAGUAUCAGCUUCCUGAGUUCGGGAUCAUUGGGCACAUAGAUGCGAUCCUCAAACCAUAAAGUUCCGUGUUCAUCCUCACGAAAACCUUUAGCUUUCCCGUCUUCCAUUUUCUGCUUAAUCUCAGCUAUCUCCUUGUCAGCUUUCUGUGCUUCGCGGAUCUUUUCCGUCAAAGUAGACUGAAUUUCCAAAGUGGCAACAAAUCCUCUUGGAAUUAUCUCCAAUUUAAGCUCUCGGAGGUCAUCGACUAACUCCUGGGGUAAUCCUCCCGCUGUGAGCGUGUUCACAUAACUCUUGCGACUCAACGCAUCGGCUACAACAUUUGCCUUGCCUGGGUGAUAAUGCAAUCUCAUGUCAUAGUCCUUGAUCAACUCUAACCAUCGCCUCUGUCUGAGGUUCAACUCCUUCUACGUGAAGAUAUAUUUCAGGCUCUUGCGAUUAGUGUAAACAUCACAACUAUUUCCGAUCAGGAAAUGACUCCAGGUCUUGAGAGCGUGCACUACGACUGCUAGUUCCAAGUCAUGUGUGGCAUAAUUCAACUCAUGAGGUCUGAGCUGUCUGGAUGCAUAGGCUACAACUUUGCCUUCUUGCAUGAGCACUCCUCCGAGUCCUUGACGAGAAGCGUCACAGUAAACCUGGAAAUCCUUCCGAAUGUUCGGCAAUAUCAGCACUGGGGCUGUAACAAGACGUUUCUUCAGCUCUUGAAAACUGGUUUCACAUUCCUCAGUCCAAAUAUACUUGGAUUCCUUCUUCAACAACUCUGUCAUGGGCUUGGCAAUCUUUGAGAAAUUCUCAAUGAACCUCCGGUAAUAUCCGGCAAGUCCGAGGAAACUGCGAAUCUCCUUGACUGAAGUGGGUGCUACCCAUUCGGUGACUGCUGCGACCUUGGCAGGGUCCACUGCUAUUCCUUCUCCUGAGAUGACGUGUCCGAGAAAUGCGACUUCCUUCAACCAAAACUCACAUUUGCUAAACUUUGCAUACAGCUUAUGCUCUCGAAGCUUCUCCAGAACUAGACACAGAUGUUCCUUGUGUUCCUCUUCGUUCUUGGAGAAUAUCAGUAUGUCAUCGAUGAACACUACGACAAACUUGUCCAAGUAUUCCAUAAAUACCUUGUUCAUCAGAUUCAUAAAAUAUGCCAGAGCAUUAGUCAGUCCAAAUGACAUGACCGUGUACUCAUACAAGCCGUACUGAGUGGUAAAGGCUGUCUUGGGUAUAUCUUGUUCACGAAUUUUCAACUGAUGAUACCUGGAUCGAAGAUCGGUCUUGGAGAAUAUUCGGGCUCCAACUAACUGAUCAAACAAAUCAUUCAUCAUCGGCAAGGGGUACUUGUUCUUGAUGGUCACAUCAUUCAAUGCACGAUAAUCGACAACCAUUCUGAAGGACUUGUCCUUCUUUUCAACCAAGAGCACUGGGGCUCCCCAAGGUGAAGAACUUGGGCGAAUAUACCCUUUGUCCAAUAACUCCUUAAUUUGCUUCUUGAUUUCUAUCAAGUCAUUUGCAGGCAUCCGAUAAGGUCUCUUGGAUAUAUCGGGGCUGUUCCGGGUAAUAGCUCAAUCAAGAACUCAAUCUCUCUAUCGGGUGGCAUGCCCGGCAAUUCCUCCGGAAAUACAUCUGGAUACUCCUGUACAAUCGGUACUUCCUCCUGGACUACUCCCGUGAGAGAGUUUACUCGCUUACUCCGUGUCGGGCGCUGAGACACGUAGUUAAUCCGCUUCUGCUCGGGGGUGGUGAGCAAAAUAGACUUAAGGGCACAAUCAAUAUUCCCUUCAUACUUGGCCAACCAAUCCAUGCCUAGGAUUACAUCCAAUCCCUGGGACUCUAAUACGAUGAGGUCGGUGGGAAAAUUAUGGUUCCCGAUGUUGAGACUCAAAGCAUGGCAUCCUAUCCCGGCUGUCAUCAUGCCUCCUGGGGAACUGACCUUAAUAGGUUGGCUGAGGGUUCUAGUUGGCAAACUAUACUUUUCCACAACUACCCUUGAUAUGAAUGAAUGUGUUGCACCAGAAUCAAAAAGUACCAAUACAGGACGUGAAUUUAGCAAAAACUUACCAACCACAGUAUCGGGGUGAUCAUAGACCUCUUCCACAUCAAUGUGGUUCACCUGAGCUCGGGGAAAAGGAUUGGGCUUCUUUGCUGCAGAGUUACCGUUGCCGUUGCCGUUUCCAUUUCCCUGCUUGUUCUGGGGACAAUCAGUGGCAUAGUGUCCCUUCUUCUGACACUUGAAGCAAGUGAUGUGAGUCAGAUCCUUCUGAGCUGGAGCUGAUUGCUGCUGAGUACCAGUACCGCCAUUCUUGAAGUUGCUGUUGUUGCGGUGGUUCCCAUUUCCUCCAUGGUUGUGGCCUCCAUGGUUGUGCACGGGGUGGUUAUGCUGAACGUGUCCUCCAAACUUACCGGAUCCNNNNNNNNNNNNNNNNNNNNNNNNNNNNNNNNNNNNNNNNNNNNNNNNNNNNNNNNNNNNNNNNNNNNNNNNNNNNNNNNNNNNNNNNNNNNNNNNNNNNAUGGGGAGGAGGGAGGCGUCUAUGCUAGGGUUUGGGCUGUGGGUGGGGUUUUUUUUUCUGUAAAUACAUGGAUGGAUGGAUGUGAGAUGGUGAGAUUGAUGGAUGGAUGGAUGGGUGCCAUGUCAUUGAUCCAUGGGAAGAGUUCUGAUUGGUUAGAAUAUGUUACAACAUUUUUGUAAUCGUCGUAAAAGUUAUGACGAUCUCAUCCUAUGCGGUUACGAUUAUUUUGACUCACAUCUUCGUAAUUUAUAUGUAGAUUUGAUCCCCACAAACGGUUUAUGAUGAUUUUGGAUGAAAUCGUCAUAGAUUUAUAACGAAUUCAUCAACGACAUCUGAAAAAACGUCAUGUAUGAGCAUAUUUCUUGUAGUGUAGUCAGACAACAAGAUAUCAAUUGUGAAUUGUCGUGUCAUCUACAAACUACCACUUUAACUUCAUCCCUUAGAAUCCUGACAAUACAACCCAUCAUUACUCUUAUAUACAAAGAAAUAUCCUAAGAAACUGAUUUCAUAAUGUCCAUCCAUGAUUUUAUAUAUAACACAAACAUUGUAGAAAAGGUACACAACAGAUAGAGCACCACGACCCAGAUAUGACUAGCAGCCAUAUGCCAACUUACAGGUGCGCGUCGAAGCGGGAGUCAAGCAGCGCCAGGAUGGCGGCGUCCUCUGGGUCAUCGUACAGGUGUGCGUCCGUGCCCAUCCGUCCCACCACCCACGACGUCGCCGCGCCGCUCGCGCGCAUCCGGAACAUCCCUCCCUCUAGGCUGCAAACAUAUAGCAGACGUGUAACGCAACAACAUCUGCUUCCAGUGGCACCAAGUAUAAACUUAAAAAACAUGUUCGAACGACCAACUAAGAAUUAGUGGAACAUGAGAGCACUGGCAGGUGUGGAGCUGGAGCCAAAGUCACUCUGAUGCACCAUUUAAAAAAAUUCAGCAGUAAAUAUAAGUGUGCUUCAUAACCUCUGCCAUAAACUAUUAAACAUAGUAGUAAAAGAUAAUAUGAAAAAAAUAAGAAAAGACAACAAUUAAAAGUGGGCACGGAGUUUUGGCUCCGAGGCACGUGUGCACUUGAUGAAUGUAAGAUCAGAACAAAAUAAGAAGUUCAAAACUUUCUGAAUUUCUUUUAUGACAAACAUUACUGAGUGUUUCACCAGGUUGCAAAGUUUCUUGGUGUUAUAGUGGAAAAAAGAAGUAAUUUAAAAAGCGACUAUCUUUGAAAGCAUUUUGGAGCACUAAAAUUUCUUUUGCCCAUGCCUUCAAGAAUGGCGCCCCAUCACGAAACUGUGCAAUUAGUUAAAGAAACUAAGGAAUGUUUGCUAUGAAAAAAUACGAAAUUUGAAAAAUGGCUCUAUUAAUUUUCGGAUGUUAGUCUUCAUCCUUGGUUGAUGUGUACCCAGGAUCUGAAUGACACAUUCACAAUUAAAAUGCUUUCUGUAGCGAUCAAAAAAAGAAAUUACACGGUAAAUAUGCCUCACAUUUUCAAAUCCGAACUGAUUUUUUAACAAAAUCAGGGAACUUCAAAGAACAGUUUUGGCACUAAUAAUAGAAUUGAGAAUUACAUAUGUUACUUUGUAAUGUUCCAUCUUAGCUUCUAUGGCGUGCUGCCAACAGGGCCCAAUGGCGCUCUACCCUAGAAACCUACACGGUACAGUUUUGUCCUAGACCCCUAGAGAAAAUUGUUGUUCGCUCGCUGCUUCAUUUUGUUUGGACCCUGAUGCACAUCAAUGAGUGAACCUGGUGCACAUGCAUGUUGUACAAACUAAGCGCUACUGAAAGAAGGAAUCGACCCUGAUGCCUGUGCAUCACGGUGCCUCCAUUCAGCUCCGCCCCCUAAGCACUGGUUCAUCUCAAAUAGAAAAAAAUAAGACAAGACUCCGAAGUAAUAGGAAAUGUAAUUCAGACCUAUCUCCAUUGCAGCCCAUAUUUCCAAGCCAAAGGGACAAAAGCAAACCCAUGAUUAUGUAAUUCAGACCUAUAAAGGCGCACAAAGAUCACAUGAUCCAGGCUAAGAAAGAAAUCGGGUGCUACUAUAGCUGUGAACUUUGCAUCAGUUGACAUAUUUUAUUAUGAACAGUCCAGUUUGUCCUACUUUCAAAUGCAAAUAUCUCUGUCACAGGAGAUGAGAUGGAGAUAAGUAAAAAUUGUGAACUUGAGGUGACAUAAUGUUAAAAUUGUGACUUGUAAAUUAACUGUUAAACAAGUAGGGGAUGCAUAAUAUUGGGGGUGAAAACAAAGAAGAAUCAGUCAAAUAUUCACAAAAUAGAGGCUAAAAGGGUAGGAGUUUCUUUGCCACCUCGGGAAAUAACUGUGCAUAUUUGCCACUAAUUAAUUCCUACUUAAAUUCGAAUAAACUAAUCAAGUAAGCCUGAUUAACAGAUGUACAUCCCGAAAUUUAUUUCCUAAAUCAUCUUACAUAACUUUGCCUUCCCAAGUCACAUAAGGCACAUUGCCAUCCAGAGUUAAUCACUGAACGAAAGUGUCGUCACGCCGCAGCAACACUAUAGAAUGCUAAGUUAUCAGUUUCCAAACUUCAAUUAAAUCUGAAAAGACUUAAUCAGAUCUCCUCCCAUGGGCCAACUAGGAGUAGAUCAUUUGCCUCCCAACAGCUUCGUUCUGCGGCUUCCUUGCCCUGGAAAGGAGAUGCGAGAGAGCGAAGAGAAUUGAACCUGGGCGAUGCUGAUGAUGAAGUCGCCAAACUUGGGGUGGACGGCUGCCUGACUCUUGAGGUGGUUGGCGAUAGGCUUGGACAGCGUCUGCAGCAGCAGCGUCCCCAGCUUCAUCACCAGCAACGCGACCAUGGCGGCGGCGGCUCGGCCAGGACCUCUUGGUCGCCAUGGAAGCAGAGGAGCAGACCCCUUCACCUCCACCUCCAGCAGCAUUAAAUAUUGCUGCAUUAACCCCUCCACGUCCAGGUUUUAACCUCCUGCAUGAAACACUAACAUAUAUUAUCUCGAGGGCCAUGAUAGAGGAGGGUCCUAACAAUUUUUGUUUCAGAUAGACAAAAACAAAAGGUCCAGUUUAACUCUGAGCAAGGAUAAAGCAGGAUUCAAGUACUCAACAUACAUAACAUAAUCUGAAAUCAUAUCUGCAUUUGGAUCAUAAGUAUUUAAGUGCCAAAAAUAAUUACCAGUUGGCAGCAUUAGCAAUCACGUUGCAUUGAAGACCUCCUUUUGAGUGCAACUGAGUGAUGUCUCCAACAAAUGUGAAAAAUCUGCUGGACUCAAAUCUGCCUCCAGUUUGUACAUGCCCUUUGCUCUUCUGACCAAAUACUCCUAAAGCAAGACUAUGUGAAGGUCCUAAAGCACUACACAUAUCAACUGCCUUCUUAAUAUCAUCAUCAUCCGUACAGAACGUGAUCCGACUGAAACCUACAGUCAGCAAGGGUGUCUAUUUGUUCUUCAACAUGUGGUUCACAACCAUGGCAGCCAUUCCGUCCUGCACAUUUCCUUCAUGGCUAGUCCGGCUAACCGAGCGUGAGAUGCAAACCUUCGCAGGAAGAUCCAAGAAAACAACAUGCACAUCAUCUUGUACGAUGCAACCAAGCUUCACAAAAUCAGAGCGCUGCUCUCUUUCCAAGUUGCAUCGGUCAAUGAGAAUGCUCUUUCCCUCCUUGAAAGCGUCUGCUGCGGCCUUCAAGCACUGUAUUUUGGUUCCAGCUUUGCCCUUUCCAAUUGUAUCCUAGAACACAAUAAAGACCCACACAAAAUCUUGUCACGGUUGCUGGAGUUUCCAUUGACGAUAUGGUUAUUAACAUUCAAGCCAAGUAAAAAAAUUGCACUACCCGAAUCACCCCAACUUACUCAUGGAAUAGGAUUUUGGUGUUUUGACUUUGAGGUGCUAUCAGCUUUCGCAUGCAGAGCCAUUUUUUGCAAGGUAAGUAUUAUUAUUACUAAUACCACGAGACCGAAACUACAGUUUCAAACUUGCGAUACAAUAACUAGUUGUGAAAAAUAUAAGCAAUUUCAGAGCCGAAUCAGAUGAGCCCGCAUUAAGCAUUAGGGAAUGCUUGUCUUGAGACCUCAAAUUCACAACGGAGACGAAAAGUACCACCACUCAGCACAUUAGCACGUAGCGAGAGUGGAGCGCGUGGGGCACACCUGGCAGACGCGGGCCCAUGGGCGACUGGCGGUGUCGCCGGCCAAGACGGCCUCGGUGAACGUGGACUUGCCGCCGCCCGGGGCGCUGACGAGGAUUAGCAGCACCUGCUUUUCGGCAUCCUCCUUAGUCUCCGCGCCCGCGCCUGCAAUGGUUAGAGACAACGGCGGGCUAGGGUUUUAGCGUCGACGGGUAGCACUGGUUCGACCGAUUAGAUGAGGAAAAGGGUCAAAAAUCACCUCGGGCUACUUUAGAAAUCGAUGGAGCGGCAGGGGAACCACCUUCGUCGGGAUCCAUUCGCGGACAAACUCCAGAGGAGAGGAACCGGGGGCCUCUCACCAGCGUCUAAUCCGCUAUGGCGGAAGGGAGUGGGUGACGGGAGGGCGGGGUUACCGGGGAAGAAGCUGCGGGCGGCGACGAGGCCGCGGCCCUUCCCUGGAACGGAGGCGACGGCGAGGCCGCAGCCGGCGAGCUCGCGCUGCAGCUGCUCCGCCUGCCUCCACCAUCGGCGGUGUCUUCUGGUUCGAUUCGGGGGGUGGAGAGGGCGAGCCAGCAAUGCCGAGAUCUGCUGCGACGCGACCCCCAGCAAGGUUGGCCGGCAAGCUACGCAGUGGUGGUGGUUGUGGGAUGCAUCAGGGAAGGAGGCAGGGGACAGCAAGGAGGUAGCGGCGGUGAUGAGAUGGGGGCGAGGGAGGGAGAGGCGAUGACGCGCAUUCUCUGGAUCGGGAGGUUGCGGCUAGGGUUCGCGCAAGAUAGAGGCAGAGGGAGAUGGGUUUGCUGUGGUGGGAUGGAUGGAUGGAUGGCCGGAUAUUUACCAUGUAAUCGAUCCAUGUCACAACUCAUUCCAUCAAUCAGACUUAAGCUUGGGCAAUUUUCUUUUUUCUUUUUUUCUUUUAUACUUUUCACCCUCUUAUUCAGGGUAAAGAUAUAAUAUAUUACCCUCUUACAGUUUGUUAAAGCUUACCAAUAUAAUGCACAUGUGUGUAUCUUGGGAUGACAAAAAUGUUGAUUUGGGUGGUUUCAUUUUCUUUGCACAAAAAAUACAUUUUUCAUUUUUCGAGUGCUCAAAAUAAGUUUUUUUGUGAAGGACCUACCAUAUACUUGUUGCAAAAUUGGAUCAAAUAGUUUUUAUAGAAUACUAGUCCAUAUUUAAUUUACAAAUGACAAAAUGGUUGGGGGUAAAAAUAUUUGAGCCACCUCUCGAAAAAAACAAAAAUUUCCGAGAAUUAUUUUUGAACUAUGGAGAGAAGGGUUUUCAUAUAUUUUAGGAAUAUAUGAUCCAAAGUAUUUAUGAGAAUUUUUCGACAAUUUUUGGAACGACAUAAUAGUAGGUUGCUUCACAAACUAGGCGGGUUUGACGCGUGACAUAGAAUGGACCCACGAGUGACAUGUCAACAUAGUUAGAACAUGUUACGACAUUGUUAUAAUCUCAUCUUAUGCGGUUACGACGUUUUUGACUCACAUCGUCAUAAUUUAUAUGUAGAUAUGAUCCCCUCAAACGGUUUACGACAAUCUCGGAUGAAAUCGUCAUAGAUUUAUGACGAAUUCAUCAACGACGUCUUCAAAAACGUCAUGUAUGAGCAUAUUUCUUGUAGUGGUCCAAUUUCUUACCGAAACAGAUACAUCUUUGUUUUCAAGGUCUAAAAUAGGCUGAUAAACAUCCCUUAUGUACUCCUGUGGAGUUAUGACAUUGAUGAUAUUAGUCUCAAUAUUUAUGGGAGUACCACAGAUGUAAUGCUUGAUUCUUUUCCCAUUUACCACUCUAGGAAAAUUUCCUUCCGUGUUAUUGAUUUUGAUGGCACCGGAACGAUAUACUUCCUCGACAACAUAGGGACCUUCCCAUUUAGAGAGAAGCUCGCCUACAAAGAAUCUCAAACGAGAAUUGUAUAGCAAGACAUAAUCACCUACAUUGAACUCUCGUUUCUGUAUUCGUUUGUCGUGCCAUCUCUUAACCUUUUCCUUGAACAACUUGGCAUUCUCAUAUGUCUGGGCUCUCCAUUCAUCUAACGAGCUGAUAUCAAACAACCGCUUCUCACCGGCAAGUUUGAAAUCAAAGUUGAGCUCUUUGAUUGCCCAAUAAGCUUUGUGUUCCAGCUCAAGAGGUAAAUGACAGGCCUUACCGUAAACCAUUUUAUACGGUGACAUGCCCAUGGGAUUCUUAUAAGCAGUCCUAUAAGCCCAUAGUGCAUCGUCAAGUUUGCUAGACCAGUUCUUUCGGAUCUAUUGACGGUCUUUUGUAGGAUCAACUUGAUCUCCCUAUUACUCAACUCAACAUGACCACUAGACUCAGGAUGAUAAGGAGAUGCAACUCUAUGGUUGAUAUCAUACUUAGCUAGCAUCUUGCGGAGAACACCAUGAAUGAAAUGUGAACCGCCAUUAGUCAUCAAGUAUCUAGGGACUCCAAAUCUUGGGAAUAUGACUUCUUUAAGCAUCUUAAUAGAGGUGUGGUGAUCAGAAUUUUUAGUGGGGAUAGCUUCUACCCACUUAGUAACGUAAUCCACAGCAACUAAGAUGUGAGUGUACCCAUUGGAACUCGGGAAGGGUCCCAUAUAAUCAAAGCCCCAGACAUCAAAUGGUUCAAUGACAAGUGAAUAGUUCAUAGGCAUUUCCUGACGCUUACUGAUGUUCCCUAUCCUUUGGCAUUCGUCACAAGACAAGACAAACUUACGGGCAUCCUUGAAGAGAGUGGGCCAAUAGAAACCUGAUUGCAAUACCUUAUGGGCAGUUCUAUCUCCAGCAUGGUGUCUUCCAUAGGCUUCAGAAUGACACUUCUUGAGGAUUUGUCCCUGUUCAUGUUCAGGCACACAACGUCUAAUAACACCAUCUACUCCUUCCUUAUAAAGGUGAGGAUCAUCCCAAAAGUAGUGUCUCAAAUCAAAGAAGAAUUUCUUAUUUUGCUGAUAGGUGAAACUGGGUGGUAUGUAUUUGGCUACGAUAUAGUUUGCAUAAUCGGCAUACCACGGUGCACUAUGUGAAGUGCGGAUGACAUUUAAUUGCUCAUCAGGAAAGCUGUCAUCAAUAGGUAGUGGGUCAUCAAGGACAUUCUCUAGCCUAGACAAGUUAUCUGCUACAGGGUUAUCAGCACCCUUUCGGUCAACGACGUGCAAAUCAAAUUCCUGUAGCAGGACAACCCAUCUGAUCAGCCUAGGCUUAGCGUCUUUCUUCUCCAUCAGGUGCUUAAUAGCAGCAUGAUCAGAGUGAAUAGUGACUUUGGAGUCAACUAUGUAAGAUCUGAACUUUUCACAUGCAAACACGACUGCUAAAAAUUCCUUCUCCGUAGUGGCAUAGUUUCUUUGGGCACUGUCUAGAGUUUUACUAGCGUAGUGAAUGACAUUCAACUUCUUGUCAACUCUUUGUCCUAGAACAACACCAACAGCGUAAUCACUAGCGUCACACAUGAUUUCAAAGGGCAAGUUCCAGUCAGGUGGUUGAACAAUAAGUGCAUCAAUUAAGAUUUUCUUACGUAUACCAAAGGCUUCUACACAAUAGUCAUCAAACCCAAAUGUUAUAUCUUUUUGAAGAAGACUAGUUAAUGGCCUAGAUAUCUUGGAGAAAUAUUUAGUAAAAUGCCUAUAGUAACCAUCAUGACCAAGAAAACUUCUUAUACCUUUAACAUAUUUAGUACAUGUCAUUUUGUCUAUUGCAUGAACUUCUUUGUCUACCUCAAUACAUAUGUAGGAAAUUUUAUGCCCAAGCACUAUGCCUUCAUUCACCAUAAAGUGGCACUUCUCUUAGUUCAAGACAAUGUUCGUUUCUUCACAUCUCUGCAAAACUCGAUCAAGGUUGCUCAAGCAAUCAUCAAAAGAAGUCUUGUAAACAGAAAAAUCAUCCAUGAAACCUUCAAUAAUCUUUUCACAAAAUUUAGAGAAUAUAUCAGUCAUACAUCAUUGAAAGGUAACACGUGCAUUGCAUAAACCAAAAGGUAUACGUAUAUAAGCAUAAGUUCAAAAGGGCAAGUGAAACUAGUUUUCUCUUGGUCCUCCUUUGACACAUGUAUUGAGAAAAACCGAAAUAUUGUAACAACCCUAUGUCAUGCUACAGGAAACUCAUGCUAAUGGUGCCAUGUCAUCAGAUUUAAUUCUGCUAAACUUCACUUUGAACCAAACCCAGUCCAACUCCACAUUUAAAAUAAAGUCAAAUUAUUAUUUCUUCAAACAUAAAAAAAUGUUCAUAAUGUUGCAAAUAAUCCCUCAGUAAUUGUGGGGUAGAAACCAUUAUUUUAUAAAGUGGUUAAGCAGAAAAAUACAAAGGUGAACAAGGGUCCGUGCACACCCACAUGAAUAGUAAAUUCAUAAAAAAUACUGGUUUUUUUUAAAACAUUCUGAAAUUUCACGAUAAGAAACUUAGUUGACCAUUCUAAUCACGUGGGAAGUUUCAUGGUGUAUUGACACCGAUGGUAUUUUUAGUGAAGAAAAUACAAUUGUGGCCAUACUGUUCAUCAAACUGUUUUAAUAAUAUAGAUUCGGUUUUGUCAUUUUUUUCCAGAUUACCACCGAUGUGAUUUCUUCGUGAAACUUCAUACACGAAUAUACUGAUUGAGUAUGUAUAUUACAAAAAUAAAUUCCAUUUUUUUGUUUUUUUAGCAAUUUAUGAAUUUAUUUUUCAAGCAGGGUGCGCUCGCACCAUGCUCACCAAAUCUGUGUCGGGUUAAGUGUCGUGAAAUAUUUAAAACAGAGGCCAAAACAAUAAAUUAAUUCCUUUUAAAAUUAUAAAAUUUAUAAGCUAUUUUAUUUAAAUGCCAAGCAUAUAUGCUUACUUGAUUUUGUAACAUGCUAUUGUUACCUACCUGCUUACCAUAUAUGCUUAGUAUAGGUUGGUUAGUGAUCCACUGGUGACACCUCACCUUGUUCAUGUUGCUCCCCCAUCAUCAUCAAUGACUCGAUCAGUGUGCUAAACAUCCUAAGCUUGACACAUCACCUCACACCCCCUUAUUUGUAUGACUCUUCAGAUCCACUAUCGAGUGCCGAAGUUGAUACUCAUAACGCACUCCUGAUGAUAACCCUAUCGUGUAGCUAGUCGGUCAUGGAUUUCAGAGGGUGAUUCCUCUUUCACCACCUCUGAUGAUGCCUCUGUCCUGCAGCCCCUCAAGUGUGAACCUAUCGAGGGUGAUUCCACCAAGUUCACCAUGACGAUUACAUCGACUGGGAAUCCAUCGAGGGUGAUUCCUCAGAUUUCCCCCUCGAUGAUAAGGACACAGUAUUACCUUUACCUAUUGUGCCUAUUACCGGUAUUGUGGGACUGAAGGAUAGGAGGUACCCCCCCCCGGAUGAGGUGGACCUGAGUUCCCGACCAUCUCUUGCGAGUCGGGUUGACCUGGAAGGUACUCGCGAGAUAAUUAGAAGGCAUAGUAGGGCAGGCAGUCCGUCCCAGGAGAGGGAUGGACCUAACCCUUGAUGAAGGUCCUCCAGACGGGGCGACAUGAUCACUCAUCGUUUCCUUGAGCUCCCAAGACACUAACGGAUUAGGAUAUGUGAUCUGAGUAGGCCUCUAGCCUUUUUCACACUAACCACCAUGCGGGAAUAACUAUGGGCCCUCUUCAUCUUACAUUCUCCCGAAAGCUCUUCAAAUGUCAUAGUGAGCGUCACUCGCUCGGGUGGCCCACGUAAGCACCUACUUUGGAUAAAGAGGUAGCUAGGACUGAUAUCAGUCAUCCUCGUAACACACACGACUGCAAAGGGCGAUGGGUCCAAGACCCCUAAGCACUUAGGAUUUAGACCGACGUGUUGUCCUCUCUGUUGAGCGUAGGUAGGACUAUGGUGUGCCGAUCAGACGAGGCCGAGCAUGACCCAGGAAAGUGUGUUCGACCGGAGUUAAUCGAGCUCGUUGGGUAAGUUGGUGAACCCCUCCAGGGAAUUAUAUGUUGGAAAUAUGCCCUAGAGGCAAUAAAUUGGUUAUUAUUAUAUUUCCUUGUUCAUGAUAAUCGUUUAUUAUCCAUGCUAGAAUUGUAUUGAUUGAAAACUCCAAUACAUGUGUGGAUACAUGGACAACACACUGUCCCUAGUGAGCCUCUAAUGGACUAGCUCGUUGAUUAAAGAUGGUCAAGGUUUCCUAGGAAUAGAAUUGAGAUGUGGUUUGAUAAAGGGAUCACAUCGUUAGGAGAAUAAUGUGAUGGACAAGACCCAAACUAUGAACGUAGUGUAUGAUCGUGUUAGUUUAUUGCUACUGUUUUCUGCAUGUCAAAGUAUAUGUUCCUAUGACCAUGAUAUCAUGCAACUCCCCAACACCGGAGGAGUGCCUUGUGUGUAUCAAANNNNNCAACGUAACUGGGUGACUAUAAAGGUGCUCUACAGGUAUGUCCGAAGAUGUGUGCUGGGUUGGCAUGGAUCAAGACUGGGAUUUGUCACUCCGUGUGACGGAGAGGUAACUCGGGGGCCACUCCAUAAUGCAACAUCACAACAAGCCUUGAAAGCAAUGUGACUAAAGAGUUAGUCACGUGAUCUUUUUAUCACGGAACAAGUAAAGAGAUUUAUCGGUAAUGAGAUUGAACUAGGUAUGGAGAUACAGACGAUCAAAUGUCGGGCAAGUAACAUACCCAUGGAAAAACGGAAUAGUAUACAUGAUUAACUGAAUCCUUGACAUGGAGGUUCUACCGAUAUAUAUCUUCGUAGAAUAUGUAGGAGGCAAUAUGGGAAUCCAGGUUAGGCUAUUAGUUAUUGAACGGAGAGUGUCUCGGCCAUGUGUGCAUAGUUCUCGAACCCGCAGGGUCUGCACACUUAAGGUUCGAUGAUGUUUCGGUAUUGUUGAGUUAUGUAUGUUGGUGACUGAAGGUUGUUUGGAGUCCUGGAUGACAUUCCGGACGUCAGAAGGUGUUCCGGAAUGGUGCAGAGACGAAUAUUGAUAUAUAGGAAGAGGGUAUUUGGACUCCGGAAUGGUUUCGGGCAUUUCUGGUAGUGUACCGAGAACGACGAAUGGGUUUUGGGGGAUCCAUCGGGAGAAGUCCACCCACCCCAGGGGCCACAUGGGCCUAAGAGGUGGCGCACCAGCCCUUAGUGGGCUGGGCAGCCAGCCCCAAAAUUCCCUUGCACCAAGGAGGUGGGAGGAGGCCAAGUUGGGAGGGAAUCCUACUAGGAGUAGGACUCCACCUCCCUUAGUGGAGGAGGAUUCCUCCUCUUGGUGCGCCACCCCUUCCCGUAUCCUCCUAUAUAUACUAGAGGGGGGAGAGGGCAGCCAACACACUAAUAUAAGGCACAACCCCUCUCCCUCCCUCUAGUUCGUUCUUCCUCUAGAAUAGGUUCGACAGUGCACGACGAAGCCCUGCCGAUCAGCUCCACCACCAUCGGCGCCACACUGUUAGGCUGUCAGAUAACUCAGCUACCUCUCCGCUCCCUCUUGCUAGAUCAAGAAGGCGGAGAUUGUCAUCGAGAUGUACGUGAGCUGAACACGGAGGUGCCGUCUGUUCGACACUAGAUCGGGAUGGAUCGUGAUGAGAUCGCGAGAUGGAUCAUGAUGGGAUCGCAGGACGGAUUGCAAUUUGGAUCGCGAAGAUGUUUCACUACAUCAACCGCAUUAUAUACGCUUCCGUUUGGUGAUCUACUAGGGUAUGUAGAUGCAUUCUCUCCUUUCGUGGAUGGUCAUGACCAUGGAUAGAUCUUAUGUCUGCGUAGGAAAUUUUUUGUUUCCCAUGCGACGUUCCCCAGCAGUGGCAUCAUGAGCUAGGUCUAUGCGUAGAUGACAUCUCGAGUAGAAAACAAAGUAGUUUGUGGGUGUUGAUAUUCAGAUUGCUUCCCUCCUUAGGCUUUUCUUGAUUUGGCGGUAUUGUUGGAUGAAGCGGCCCGGACCAACAUUACUCGUACGCUUACGAGUGACCGGUUUCAUCGACUAACAUGCAACUAGUUGCAUAAAGAUGACUGGUGGAUGUCUGUUUCUCCUACUUUAUUUGAAGCAGAUUUGACAGAGGCGGUCCUUGGAGAUGGUUAAAUAGCAACUUGUAUAUCACCGUUGUGGUUUUGCGUAAGUAAGAUGCGAUCAUGCUAGAUACCCAUAGCAGCCACGUAAAACAUGCCACAACAAAUUAGAGGACGUCUGACUUGUUUUUGCAGGGUAUGUUGUGAUAUUAUAUGGAAAGACAUGAUAUUAUAUAUUUGAUGUAUGAGAUGAUCAUGUUGUAAUAGUUAAAUAUCGACUUACAUGUCGAUGCUACGACAACUGGCAGGUGCCAUAUGGUUUUCUUAAAUUUUUUGUGCCCGGUGAUGCUUUACUUUAUCGCUAGUUCAGUAGCUUUAGUAGUAACAACAUACUUGGUGAGACAACCUCGAUGGCAGUACAAUGAUGGAGAUCAUGAUGUGGCACUCGUGAAGAUGUAGAUCAUGCCGGUACUUUGGAGAUGGAUAUCAAAAGCACAAGAUGAUGGCCAUAUCAUGUCACUUAUGAUUUGCAUGUGCUGUUAAUCCUUUUAUGCACCUUAUUUUUCUUAGGACGAUGGUAGCAUUAUAAGAUGAUCCCUCACUAAAAUUUCAAGAUAAAAUUGUGAUCUCCCCGAGUGUGCACCAUUGCAAAAGUUCGUCGUUUCAAGACACCACGUGAUGAUCGGGUGUGAUAGACUCUUCGUUCGAAUACAAUGGGUGCAAGACAGUUUUGCACACGCGGAACAUUCGGGUUAAACUUGAUGAGCCUAGCAUGUCCAAACAUGCCCUCAAAGCACAAGAUAACGGAAGGUUGAACAUGAGUCAUAUAGUAGAUAUGAUCAACAUAGAUACGUCCACCAUUGAAUCCAACUCAACUCAUGUGAUGAUUGGACUUGAGUUAGUGAAUUUUGAUCAAGUAUCACUCGAAUGACUAGAGGGAUGUCAAUUUGAGUGGGAGUGUUGGAAAUAUGCCCUAGAGGCAAUAAUAAAGUAGUUAUUAUUAUAUUUCCAGUUCAUGAUAAUUGUCUAUUAUGCAUGCUAUAAUUGUAUUAAACAGAAAUUGUAAUACAUGUGUGAAUAUAUAGAUCACAAUGUGUCCCUAGUGAGCCUCUAUUUGGAUAGCUCGUUGAUCAAUAGAUGAUCAUGGUUUCUUGAUCAUGGACAUUGCAUGUCAUUGAUGACGGGAUCACAUCAUUGGGGAAUGAUGUGAUGGACAAGACCCAAUCCUAAGCAUAGCACUAGAUCGUGUUGUUUGUCUACUAAAGCUUUUCUAAUGUCAAGUAUCAUUUCCUUAGACCGUGAGAUUGUGCAACUCCUGGAUACCGUAGGGGUGCUUUGGGUGUACCAAACGUCACAGCGUAAGUGGGUGAUUAUAAAGGUGCACUACGGGUAUCUCCGAAAGUGUUUGUUGAGUUGUGCGUAUCGAGACCGGGAUUUGUCACUCCGUGUGAUGGAGAGGUAUCUUUGGGCCCACUCGGUAAUCCAUCAUCAUAAUGAGCUCAGUGUGACUAAGAAGUUAGCCACGGGAUGAUGUGUUACGGAACGAGUAAAGAGACUUGCCAGUAACGAGAUUAAACAAGGUAUAGGGAUACCGUCGAUCGAAUCUCGGGCAAGUAUCAUACCGAUAGACAAAGGGAUUGCAUACGGGAUUGAUUGAAUCCUUGACAUCAUGGUUCAUCCGAUGAGAUAAUCGUGGAACAUGUGGGAACCAACAUGGAUAUCCAGACCCCGUUGUUGGUUAUUGGCCAGAGAUAUGUCUCGGGCAUGUCUGCAUGUCUCCCGAACCUGUAGGGUCUACACAUUUAAGGUUCGAUGACGCCAGGGUUAUAUGGAAAUAGUGUACGUUGUUACCGAAGGUUGUUCUAAAUCCCAGAUGAGAUCCCGGACGUCACGAGGAGCUCCAAAAUGGUCCGUAGGUAAAUAUUGAUAUAUAGGAAGUGAGAUUUUGGACACCGGAAAUGUUUCGGGCGUCACCUGUAACGUACCGGGACCAUCGGAGGGGUUCGGGGGGUCCACCUGCCCCAAAGGCUAGCAUGGGCCAAAAGAUGGAAGGCAACCAGCCCAGAGUGGGCUGGUGCGCCUCCCACCUAGGCCCAAGGCGCAAGGAGAGGUGGAGGGGGGCAAACCCUUGGCGUAGGAGGGGCCCAAGGCCCAUUUGGGUGCGCCACCCCUCCUCUCCCUGCCCUGGCCGCCGCCCUCCUGGCCAUCUAGGUCUGCCGCCACCCCUAGGGAGGGAACCCUAGGGGUGUGCACCCUCCCUCCCUCCCUCCUAUAUAUACCCGAGGUAUUGGGGCUGAUUUGAGACAUGAACUAUUUCUCUCUCGGCGCAACCCUACCCCUCUCUCUCCUCGUCCUCCGCAUAGCUUAGCGAAGCUGUGCCGGAGAACCACGUAGCUCCAUCGCCACCAUGCCGUCGUGCUGCCGGAGCUCUCUCCCUCAACCUCUCCCUCCUCCUUGCUGGAUCAAGGUGCGGGAGACAUCAUCGGGAUGCACGUGUGUUGAACGCGGAGGUGCCGUAGUUUGGCACAUAGAUCGGAAUCAACCGCGAUCUGAAACGUUGCGACUACGACUCCAUCAACCGCGUUCAUAGUAAUGCUUCCUCUUAGAGAUCUUCUAAGGUAUGAAGAUGCUCUACAACCUCUCUCGUUGUUGGUUUCUCCAUAGAUAGAUCCUUGUAUGGCGUAGGAAUUUUUUUGAAUUUACUACGAUCCCCAACAGUGGCAUCUGAGCCAAGGUUCUAUGCGUAGAUUCUAUGCAUGAGUAGAACACAAAAGUUGUGGGCGCUGAUUUGUCAACUUUCUUGCCGUUACUAGUCUUAUCUUUUUUGGCGGUAUUAUGGGAUGAAGCGGCCCGGACCGACUUUACACGUACGCUUACGUGAGACUAGUUCCACCGACAGACAUGCACUUGGUGCAUAAGGUGGCUAGUGGGUGUGUGUCUCUCCCACUUUAGUUGAAUUGGAUUCGAUGAAAAGGGUCCUUAUGAAGGGUAAAUAGCAUUGGCAUAUAAACUUUGUGGAUGUCACUUAGGUGAGAAAUGUUCUUGCUAGAAACCCAAACCUGCCACGUAAAACUUGCAACAACAAUUAGAGGACGUCUAACUUGUUUUUGCAGGGUAUGCCAUGUGAUGUGAUAUGGCCAAAAGGAUGUGAUGUUAUAUAUGUGAUGUAUGAGAUUGAUCAUAUUAUUGUAAUAGGAUUCACGACUUGCAUGUCAAUGAGUAUGAAAACCGGCAGGAGCCAUAGGAGUUGUCUUGAUUUAUUUUAUGAGCUGCAACGCCGUGUUGAUUAAUUUACUUUAUCGCUAAUGGUUAGCUAUAGUAGUAGAAGUAAUAGUUGGCGUGACAACUUCAUGGAGACACAAUGAUGGAGAUCACGAUGAUGGAGACCAUGGUGUCAUGCCGGUGACGAUGAUGAUCAGUUGCCCCGAAGAUGGUGAUCAUGUCACUAUAUAGGCCAUAUCAUGUCACUAUAUGAUUGCAUGUGAUAUUUAUCAUGUUUUACAUCUUAUUGCUUAGAACGACGGUAGAAAAUAUAAGAUGAUCCCUCAUUAAAAUUUCGAGAUAAGUAUUCCCCUAAGUGUGCACCGUUGCGAAGGUUCGUUGUCUCAAAGCACCACGUGAUGAUCGGGUGUGAUAGAUUCUAACGUUCGCAUACAACGGGUGUAAGCCAGUUUUACACACGCAAAACACUUAGGUUGACUCGACGAGACUAGCAUGUACAGACAUGGCCUCGAAUAGAAGAGACUGAAAGGUCGAACAUGAGUUGUAUGGUUGAUACGAUCAGCACGGAGAUGCUCACCAUUGAUGACUAGUUCGUCUCACGUGAUGAUCGGAUACGGGCUAGUCGACGUGGAUCAUGUAACACUUGGAUGACUAGAGGGAUGUCGAUCUAAGUGGGAGUUCAUUAGUAAUUUGAUUAGAUGAACUUAAUUAUCAUGAACUUAGUCUAAAAUUGUCUUUACAAAUAUUGUAGAUCCAAUGGCCAACGCAAAUGUCCCAUUCAACUUCAAUGCGUUCCUGGAGAAAACCAAGCUGAAAGACGAUGUAAGCAACUAUGCAGAUUGGGCUCGUAACUUAAAGAUCAUCCUCAUGGAUUCCAUGAAGGCAUAUGUCCUUGAUGCACCGCUAGGUGAUCCUCCCGUUCCCGCGGCAACCCAGCACGUCAGGAACGGCUGGCAGUCGCGGAGUGAUGACUACUCUCUCGUUCAGUGCGACAUGCUUUACAGUUUAGAACCGAGGCUCCAAAGGCGUUUUGAGCAACACGAAGCAUAUGAGAUGUUUGAGGAGCUGAAACUUGUUUUUCAAGCUCAUGCCCGGGUCAAGAGAUAUGAAGUCUCUGACAAGUUCUUUAGUUGUAAGAUGGAGGAAAAUAUUUCUGUCAGUGAGCACAUACUCAGAAUGUCUGGGUUGCACAACCGCUUGACUCAGCUGGGAGUUGAACUUCCGGAUGAUGAGGUCAUUGACAGAAUCCUCCAGUCGGUUCCACCCAGCUACAAAGGCUUUGUGAGGAAUUACUACAUGCAAGGGAUGGAUAAGAAUAUUCCCGAGUUGUAUUCAAUGCUCAAAUCUGGAGAGGUAGAAAUCAAGAAAGAGCAUCAAGUGUUGAUUGUCAAUAAGACUACCAGUUUCAAGAAGGGGAAGGGUAAGAAAAAGCUUCAAGAAAGAUGACAAAGUUGUUGCCGCACCGGGUAAGCCAGUUACCGAGAAGAGGUCAAGGAAAGGACCUAAGCCUGAGACUGACUGCUACUACUGCAAGGGAACCGGUCACUGGAAGCGGAAUUGCCCCAAGUACUUAGCUAACAAGAAGGCCGACAACGUCAAAGGUAUAUGUGAUAUACUUGUUAUUGAUUUGUACCUUGCCAGCGCUCAUACUAGCUCCUGGGUAUUUGAUACCGGUGUUGUUGCUCACAUUUGCAACUCUAAGCAGGAACUACAGAACAAGCAUAGGCUGGCUAAGGACGAGGUGAUGAUGCGCGUCGGAAAUGGUUCCAAGGUCGAUGUGAUCGCUGUCGGCACGCUACCUCUACAUCUACCUUUGGGAUUAGUUAUAAACCUUAAUAAUUGUUAUUUAGUACCAGCUUUAAGCAUGAACAUUGUAUCGGGAUCUCGCUUGAUGCAAGAUGGCUACUCAUUUAAAUCUCAGAAUAAAGGUUGUUCUAUUUAUAUGAGUGGUAUGUUUUAUGGUCAUGCCCCGGUGGUUAAUGGUUUAUUCCUAAUGAAUCUCGAUCAUGAUGUUACACAUAUUCAUAGUGUGAGUGCUAAAAGAUGCAAGGUUGAUAAUGAUAGUCCCACAUACUUGUGGCACUGCUGCCUUGGUCAUAUCGGUGUAAAGCGCAUGAAGAAACUCCAUAUAGAUGGACUCUUGGAGUCACUUGAUUUUGAAUCAUUUGACACAUGUGAACCGUGCCUCAUGGGCAAGAUGACCAAGACUCCGUUCUUCGGAACAAUGGAGCGAGCAACUAAUUUGUUGGAAAUAAUACAUACCGAUGUAUGCGGUCCCAUGAGCAUUGAAGCUCGUGGUGGCUAUCGUUAUGUUCUCACCCUCACUGAUGAUUUAAGUAGAUAUGGAUAUGUCUACUUAAUGAAGCACAAGUCUGAAACCUUUGAAAAUUUCAAGGAAUUUUAGAGUGAGGUGGAGAAUCAAAGCGACAAGAAAAUAAAGUUUCUACGAUCUAAUCGUGGAGGAGAAUAUUUGAGUCAUGAGUUUGGCACACACCUACGGAAAUGUGGAAUUGUUUCACAACUCACGCCGCCUGGCACACCGCAACGUAACGAUGUGUCUGAACGUCGUAAUCACACUUUAUUGGAUAUGGUGCGAUCUAUGAUGUCUCCUACCGAUUUACCGCUAUCAUUUUGGGGAUAUGCAUUGGAAACUCCCGCAUUCACUUUAAAUAGGGCACUGUCUAAAUCCGUUGAGAUGACACCGUAUGAAUUAUGGUUUGUCAAGAAACCUAAGCUGUCGUUUCUUAAAGUUUGGGGCUGCGAUGCUUACAUGAAUAAACUUCAACCAGAGAAGCUCGAACCCAAAGCGGAAAAAUGCGUCUUCAUAGGAUACCCUAAGGAAACUAUUGGGUAUACCUUCUACCUUAGAUCCGGAGGCAAGAUCUUUGUUGGUAAGAUCGGAUACUUUCUAGAGAAAGAGUUUCUCUCGAAAGAUGUGGGAGGAAAAUAGAACUUGAUGAGGUAAUAGUACCUCCUCUCGAACCGGAGAGUAGUGCAGCACAAGAGAAUGUUUCUGAGGCGCCUGCACCGGCUAGAGAUGAAGUUAAUGAUGAUGAUCAUGACAGUUCGGAUCAAGUUGCUAUUGAACCUCGAAGGUCGACAAUGGUACACUCCGCACCAGAGUGGUACGACAACCCUGUCAUGGAAAUCAUGUUGUUAGACAACAGUGAACCUUCGAACUAUGAAGAAGCGAUGGCGGGCCCGGAUUCCAACAAAUGGCUUGAGGCCAUGAAAUCCGAGAUAGAAUCCAUGUAUGAGAACAAAGUAUGGACUUUGGUGGGCUUGCCCGAUGAAUAGCGAGCCAUAGAAAAUAAAUGGAUCUUCAAGAAGAAGACUUACGCGUAAGGUAAUGUGACCAUCUAUAAGGCUCGACUUGUCGCUAAGGGUUAUCGACAAGUUCAAGGGAUUGACUACGAUGAGACCUUCUCACCUGUAGCGAUGCUGAAGUCGGUGUGAAUCAUGUUAGCAAUUGCCGCAUUUUAUGAUUAUGAAAUCUUGCAAAUGGAAGUUGAUACGUCCAUUUUGCAUCAUGCUUUCACGUUGGUAUUUAUUGCUUUUAGGGCUGUUAUAUUACUUUUGGUGCCAUAUUUAUGCCUUUUCUCUCUUAUUUUACAAGGUUUAUUUGAAGAGGGAGAAUUCAGGCAGCUGGAAUUCCGGACUGGAAAAGGAGCAAAUCCUAGUCCACUAAUCUGCACAUCUCCAAAUGCCCUGAAAACUUACGUGGAUUUUUUCUGGAUUAUAUAAAAAAUACUGGGCGAAAGAACUACCGGAGGGGGGCCACCAGGGCUCCACAAGCCCUGCCACCGCCACCACCCCCCUGGUGGCACAGGGCAAGCUUGUGGGCUGCCUGACGGCCCACUAGCUCCCCCUUUUGCUGUAUGAAGGGUUUUGGUCCAGAAAAAAAAUCAUUCGGGAGCUUUUUCGUGGUUUCGCCGCUGCCACGAGGCGGAACUUGAGCAGAUCCAAUCUAGAGCUCCGGCAGGACGAUCCUGCCGGGGAAACUUCCCUCUCGGAGGGGGGAAUCGUCGCCAUCGUCAUUACCAACACUCCUCUCAUCGGAGGGGAGGCAUCUUCAUCAACAUAUUCAUCAGCACAAUCUCCUCUCCAAUCCCUAGUUCAUCUCUUGUAACUAAUCUUCGUGUCGCAACUCCGAUUGGUACUUGUAAGGUUGCUAGUAGUGUUGAUUACUCUUUGUAGUUGAUGCUAGUUGGAUUACUUGGUGGAAGAGUUUAUGUUCAGAUCCUUGAUGCUAUUCAUUACACCUCUGAUCAUGAUUAUGAUUAUGUUUUGUGAGUAGUUACUUUUGUUCCUGAGGACAUGGGAUAAGUCAUGUUAAUAAUAGUCAUGUGAAUUUGAUAUUCGUUCGGUAUUUUGAUAUCCUGUUUGUUGUCUUUUCCUCUAGUGGUGUUAUGUGAACGUCGACUACAUAACAUUUCACCAUAUUUGGGCNNNNNNNNNNNNNNNNNNNNNNNNNNNNNNNNNNNNNNNNNNNNNNNNNNNNNNNNNNNNNNNNNNNNNNNNNNNNNNNNNNNNNNNNNNNNNNNNNNNNGACUUCUCCCGAUGGACCCCCCGGAACCCAUUCGUCCCGGUACACUACCGGACAUGCCCGAAACCAUUCUAGAGUCCAAAUACCCUCUUCCUAUAAAUAAAUUCCGAAACUCCUUGUGACGUCCGGGGUCUCAUCCGGGACUCUAAACAACCUUUGGUCACCAACAUACAUAACUCAGCUAUACCGAAACGUCACCAAACAUUAAGUGUGCACGCCCUGUGGGUUAGAGAACUAUGCAGACAUGACCGAGAUACUCUCCUGUCAAUAACCAAUAGCAGGACCUGGAUGCCCAUAUUGGCUCCUACAUAUUCUACGAAGAUCUUUAUGGGUCGAACCUCUAUGUCAAGGAUUCAGUUAAUCCCGUAUAUUAUUCCCUUUGUCCAUUGGUAUGUUACUUGCCCGAGAUUCGAUCGUCGGUAUCUCCAUACCUAGUUCAAUCUCAUUACCGGAAAGUCUCUUUACUUAUUCUGUAAAACAAAAUCCCGUGACUAACUCUUUACUCACACUGCUUGCAACACUUGUUGUGACGUUGCAUUACCGUGUGGGCCCCGAGAUACCUCUCCGUCACACGGAGCGACAAAUCCCAGUCUUGACCCAUGCCAACCCAAUAGACACCUUCGAAGAUACCUGUAGAGUACCUUGAUAGUCACCCAGUUGCGUUGUGACUUUUGAUAAACACAACGCAUUCCUCUGGUGUCCGGGAGUUGCAUGAUCUCAUGGUCAUAGGAACAUAUACUUUGGCAUGCAGAAAACAGUAGCAAUAAACUGACACGAUCAUAUGUUGCAUUCAUAGUUUGGGUCUUAUCCAUCACAUCAUUCUCCUAAUGGUGUGAUCCCGUUAUCAAAUGACAUCUCAUGUCUAUGGUUAGGAAACCUUGACCAUGUUUGAUCAACGAGCUAGUCCAUUAGAGGCUCACUAGGUACAGUGUGUUGUCUAUGUAUCCACACAUGUAUUGCAGUUUCUAGUCAAUACAAUUCUAGCAUGGAUAAUAAACGAUUAUCGUGAAAAAGGAAAUAUAAUAAAAACCAAUUUACUAUUGCCUCUAGGGUAUAUUUCCAACAGUAUCCCACUUGCACUAGAGUCAAUAAUCUAGUUCACAUCACUAUGUGAUUGUAAUGAAUCCAACACCCAUACAGUUCUGGGGUUUCAUCAUGUAUUGCUUGUGAGAAAGGUUUAUAGUCAACAGGUGUGAACCUUUCAGAUCUGUGUGUGCUUUACAAAUCUCUAUGUCAUCCUAUAGAUGCUGCUACCACGUGCCAUUUGGAACUAGUCUAAAUGACUGCUCCAUUAUACGAAUUUGGUUUACUACUCAGACUUAUCCGGAUCCGUGUCAAAGCUUGCAUCGACGUAACCUUUUACGACGAACUCUUUUAUGACCUCCAUAAUCGAGAAACAUUUCCUUAGUACUCAAGUUACUAAGUAUAAUUUUGAUCGUUGUCCAGUAAUCCAUUCCUGGAUCACUUUUGUACCCCUUGACAGAUUCAUGGCAAGGCACACAUUACGUGUGGUACAUAACAUGGCAUACUAUAGAGCAUAUAGCUAAUGCAUAGGGGACGACCUUCGUCCUUUCUCUUUCUUCUAUCAUUGUCGGGCUUUUGAGUCUUACUCACUAUUCACACCUUACAACACAGCCAAGAACUCCUUCUUUGACUGAUCUAUUUUGAACUCCUUUAAAAUCUUGUCACGGUAUGUAUGCAUUUCAAAGUUCUAUUAAGUGUUUUGAUCUAUCUCUAUAGAUCUUGAUGCUCAAUGUUCGAGUAGCUCAAUAUAGAUUUUCCUUGAAAAACACUUUUCAAACAACCUUAUAUUCUUUAUAGAAAUUCUACAUCAUUUCUGAUAAACAAUAUGCCAACCACAUAUACUCAUCAGAAAUUCUAUAGUGCUCCCAUUCACUUUCUUGGAAAUACAAGUUUCUCAUAAACUUUGUAUAAACCCAAAAGCUUUGAUCAUCUCAUCAAACCGUAUAUUCCAACUCCGAGAUGCUUGCUCCUGUCCAUAGAAGGAUCGUUGGAGCUUGAAUACUUGUUAGCAUCCUUAGGAUCGACAAAAUGUCAUGGUUGUAUAACACACAACCUUUCCUCAAGGAAACCGUCAAGGAAACAAUGUUUUGAUAUCCAUCUAACAAAUUUCAUAAUCGAAAAAUGCAGCAACUACUAACAUAAUUCCAACAGACUUUAGCAUCGCUACGGGUGAGAAAGUCUCAUCGUAGUCAACUCUCUGAACUUGUCGGAAAACUCUUGGCGACAAGUCGAGCUUACUAAAUGGUGACAUUCACCAUCAUCGUCUGUCUUCCUUGUAAAGAUCCACUUCUACUCAAUAGCCUUAUGACCAUCAAAUAGUUCUUCCAAAGUCUAUACUUCAUUUUCAUACAUGGAUCCUAUCUCGGAUUCCAUGGCGUCCGACCAUUCUUCGAAAUCCGGGCCCACCAUUGCUUCUCCAUAGCUCGUAGGUUCAUUGUUGUCCAACAACAUGACCUCCAAGACAGGAUUACCGUACCACUCUGGAGCAUUACGUUUCCUUGUCGAACUACGUGGUUUGGUAGUAACUUGAUCCGAAGCUUCAUGAUCACCAUCAUUGGCUUUNNNNNNNNNNNNNNNNNNNNNNNNNNNNNNNNNNNNNNNNNNNNNNNNNNNNNNNNNNNNNNNNNNNNNNNNNNNNNNNNNNNNNNNNNNNNNNNNNNNNGCGUCAUCGAACCUUAAGUGUGUAGACCCUACGGGUUCGCGAGACAUGCAGACAUGACUGAGAAAUCUCUCUGGCCAAUAACCAACAACGGGGUCUGGAUAUCGAUGUUGUUUCCCGCAUGUUCCACGAUGAUCUCACCGAAUGAACCACGAUGUCAAGGAUUCAAUCAACCCCGUAUACAAUUCCCUUUGUCUAUCGGUAUCCCUGUACCUUGUUCAAUCUCGUUACCGGCAAGUCUCUUUACUCGUUCCGUAACGCACCAUCCCGUGGCUAACUCCUUAGUCACACUGAGCUCAAUAUGAUGAUGGAUUACCGAGUGGGCCCACGGAUACCUCUCCGUCACACGGAGUGAAAAAUCCUGGUCUCGAUAUGUACAACUCAACACACAUUUUCGGAGAUACCCGUAGUGCACCUUUAUAAUCACCCAGUUACGUUGUGACGUGUGGUACACCCAAAGCACCCCUACGUUAUCCGGGAGUUGCACAGUCUCACGGUCUAAGGAAAUUAUACUUGACAUUAGAAAAGCUUUAGGAGACGAACAACACGAUGUAAUGCUAUGCUUAGGAUUGGGUCUUGUCCAUCGCAUCAUUCCCCAAUGAUGUGAUCCCGUCAUCAAUGACAUCCAAUGUCCAUGAUCAAGAAACCAUGAUCAUCUAUUGAUCAACGAGCUAGCUGAUACGUCCAUUUUGCAUCAUGCAUUCAUGUUGAUAUUUAUUUCUUUUUGGGUUGUUAUUUCACUUCACGGUACAAUACUUAUGCCUUUUCUCUCUUAUUUUGCGAGGUUUACAUGAAGAGGGAGAAUGUCGAUAGCUGGAAUUCUGGCCUGAAAAAGGAGCAAGUUUGAGAUGCCUAUUAUGCGCAACUCCAAAAGCCAUGAAAAUCAACGUGGAUUUUUUUGGGGAUAUAUAAAAAAUACUGGGCCAAAGAAGUGCGAGAGGAGCGCAACCAGGGGCACAAGCCUGGUAGGCGUGGCCACCCCCCUGGCCGCGCCUAGGGGACUUGUGGGCUCCCUGCUGGCCCACUGGCUCCCCUCUUGUGCUAUAUGAAGGGUUUCAUUCCGAAAAAAAUCAGGAGGAGGCUUUUCAGAGGAUUCGCCGCCGCCACGAGGCGGAACUUGACUAGAACUAAUCUAGAGCUCCGACAGGAUGAUCCUGCUGGGGAAACUUCCCUCACGGAGGGGGAAAUCGUCGCCAUCAUCAUCACCAACACUCCUCUCAUCAGAGGGGACUCAUCACCAUCAAUAUCUUCAUUAGCACCAUCUCAUCUCCAAACCCUAGUUCAUCACUUGUAACCAAUCUCCAGCUCGCGACUCCGAUUGGUACUUGUAAGGUUGCUAGUAGUGUUAAUUACUCUUUGUAGUUGAUGCUAGUUGGAUUAUUUGGUGGAAGAGUUUAUGUUCAGAUCCUUUACGCUACUCAUUACCUCUUUGGUAAUGAAUAUGAUUAUGCUUUGUGAGUAGUUACUUUUGUUCCUGAGGACAUGGGAUAAGUCAUGCUAUAAGUAGUCAUGUGAAUUUGGUAUUCGUUCGAUAUUUUGAUGUGUUGUAUGUUGUUUUUCGUCUAGUGGUGUUAUGUGAACGUCGACUACAUAACACUUCACCGUUAUUUGGGCCCAGAGGAAGGCAUUGGGAAGUAGUAAGGAGAUGAUGGGUUGCUAGAGUGACAGAAGCUUAAACCCUAGUUUAUGCGUUGCUUCGUAAGGGGCUGAUUUGGAUCCACUAGUUUAAUGCUAUGGUUAGACUUUGUCUUAAUUCUUCUUUCGUAGUUGCGGAUGCUUGCGAGAGGGGUUAAUCAUAAGUGGGAUGCUUGUCCAAGUAAGGGCAGUACCCAAGUGCCUGUCCACCCACAUAUCAAACUAUCAAAGUAACGAACGCGAAUCAUAUGAACAUGAUGAAACUAGCAUGACAGAAUUUCCCCUGUGUCCUCGGGAGCGUUUUUCCUCCUAUAAGACUUUGUCCAGGCUUGUCCCUUGCUACAAAAGGGAUUGGGCCACUUUGCUGCACCGUUGUUACUUUUGUUACCUGUUGCUUGCUACGAAUCAUCUCACCACACAACCACUUGUUACCGAUAAUUUCAGUGCUUGCAGAUAUUUCCUUGCUGAAAACCACUUGUCAGAUCCUUCUUCUCCUCGUUGGGUUCGACCCUCUUACUUAUCGUAAGGACUACAAUAGAUCCCCUAUACUUGUGGGUCAUCACUAGCCAACUAGAGGCUCACUAGGGACACAUUGUGAUCUAUAUAUUCAUAAUGUAUUACGGUUUCUGGUUAAUACAAUUAUAGCAUGAAUAAUAGACAAUUAUCAUGAACCGGAAAUAUAAUAAUAACUACUUUAUUAUUGCCUCUAGGGCAUAUUUCCAACAGUCUCACACUUGCACUAGAGUCAAUAAUCUAGUUACAUUGUGAUGAAUCGAACACCCAUAGAGUUCUGGUGCUGAUCAUGCUUUCCCAGUGGAAGAGGUUUACUCAACGGGUCUGCGACAUUCAGAUCUGUAUGUACUUUACAAAUAUAUAUAUCUCCAUCCUGGUUGUAUCCAUGAAUGGUGUUGAAGCGGCAUUUUAUGUGCUUGGUCUCCUUGUGAAACUUGGGCUCCUUUGCAAUAGCAAUAGCUCAAGUGUUGUGAGAGAACAGAGUCAUCGGGCCCGACGCACUUGGAAUCACUCCUAGGUCGGUGAUGAACUCCUUCAUCCAGACUCCUUCAUGUGCUGCUUCUGAAGCAGUUAUGUACUCCGCUUCACAUGUAGAUGCUGCCAUGAUGCUUUGCUUGCAACUGCACCAGCUUACUGCCCCAUUAUUCAAAAUGUACACGUAUCCAGUUUGUGACUUGGAGUCAUACGGAUCUGUGUCGAAGCUAACAUCGACGUAACCCUUUACGACAAGCUCUUCGGCACCUCCAUAGACGGGAAACAUAUAUUUAGUUCUUUUGAGGUACUUUAGGAUAUUCUUGAACGUUGUCCAGUGAUCCACUCCUAGAUCACUCUGGUACCUCGCUACCAAACUUAUGGCAAGGUUCACAUCAGGUCUGGUACACAGCAUGGCAUACAUGAUAGGGCCUAUGGAUGAAGCAUAGGGGAUGGUACUCAUGUUUUCUCUAUCUUCCGCCGUGGUCGUUCGUUCAGUCGCACUCAACCUCACACCUUGCAAUACAGGCAAGAACCCCUUCUUAGCCUUCUCCAUAUUGAACUUCUUCAAUAUCUUGUGAAGGUAUGUGCUUUCUGAAAGACCUAUGAGGCAUCUCGGUCUAUCUCCAUAGAUCUUGAUGCCUGAUAUGUAUGCACCUUCUCCAAGGUCCUUCAUUGAAAAAAUCUUAUUCAAAUAGGCCUUGAUGCUUUCCAAUAGUUAUAUAUCAUUUCCCAUCAACAAUAUGUCAUCCACAUAUAAUAUGGGAAAUGCUACAGAGCUCCCACUCACUUUCUUGUAAAUACAGGCUUCUCCAUAAGUCUGUAUAAACCCAAACGCUUUGAGCACCUCAUCAAAGCGAAUGUUCCAACUCUGAGAUGCUUGCACCAGCCCAUAGAUGGAGCGCUAGAGCUUGCAUACCUUGUUAGCACUGCUAGGAUCGACAAAACCUUCCAACUAUAUCAUAUACAACUCUUCUUUAAGAAAGCCGUUCAGGAAAUGCUGUUUUGACAUCUGAUGACCCACAAGUAUAGGGGAUCAAUCGUAGUCCUUUCGAUAAGUAAUAGUGUCGAACCCAACGAGGAGCAGAAGGCUCUGAUAAGCGGAUUUCAGCAAGGUAAUAACUGCAAGCAUUGAAAGUAGCGGUAACAAGUGAUUGUGUAGCAAGGUGAAACGUAGCAAGCAAAGAGUAACAAGUAACAAGUAGUAGCAACGGUGCAGCAAGUGGGCCAAUCCCUUUUGCAGCAAGGGACAAGCCUGAACAAAGUCUUAUAGGAGGAAAAACGCUCCCAAGGAUACACGGGAAUUUCUGUCAUGCUAGUUUCAUCAUGUUCAUAUGAUUCGCGUUCGUUACUUUGAUAGUUUGAUAUGUGGGUGGACCGGCGCUUGGGUACUGCCCUUACUUGGACAAGCGUCCCACUUAUGAUUAACCUCUCUUGCAAGAAUCUGCAACUACAAAAGAAUAAUUAAGACAAAGUCUAACCAUAGCAUUAAACUAGUGGAUCCAAAUCAAGCCCUCACGAAGCAACACAUAGACUGGGGUUUAAGCUUCUGUCACUCCAGCAACCCAUCAUCUACUUACUACUUCCCAAUGCCUUCCUCUAGGCCCAAAUAUGGUGAAGUGUUAUGUAGUCGACAUUCACAUAACACCACUAGAGGAAAAGACAAGAAACAACAUAUCAAAAUACCGAACGAAUAUCAAAUUCACAUGACUAUUAUUAACAUGACUUAUCCCAUGUACUCAGGAACAAAAGUAACUACUCACAAAACAUAAUCAUAAUCAUGAUCAGAGGAGUAAUGAAUAGCAUCAAGGAUCUGAACAUAAACUCUUCCACCAAGUAAUCCAACUAGCAUCAACUACAAAGAGUAAUCAACACUACUAGCAACCUUACAAGUACCAAUCGGAGUUGCGAGACGAAGAUUGGUUACAAGAGAUGAACUAGGUAUUGGAGAGGAGAUGGUGCUGAUAAAGAUGUUGAUGAAGAUGCCUCCGACGAGAGGAGUGUUGGUGAUGACGAUGGCGACGAUUCCCCCCUCCGGGAGGGAAGUUUCCCCAGCAGGAUCGUCGUGCGGAGCUCUAGAUUGGAUCUGCUCAAGUUCCGCCUCGUGGCGGCGGUGAAACCACGGAAAAGCUCCCGAAUGAAUUUUUUCUCGACCAAAACCCUUCAUAUAGCAAAAUGGGGGAGCUAGUGGGCUGUCAGGCAGCCCACAAGCUUGCCCUGCGCCACCAGGGGGGUGGUGGCGGUGGCAGGGCUUGUGGAGCCCUGGUGGCCCCCCUCCGGUAGUUCUUUCGCCCAGUAUUUUUUAUAUAAUCCAAAAAAAAUCCACGUAACUUUUCAGAGCAGUUGGAGAUGUGUAGAAUAGUGGACUAGGAUUUGCUCCUUUUCUAGUCCAGAAUUCCAGCUGCCUGAAUUCUCCCUCUUCAAAUAAACCUUGCAAAAUAAGAGAGAAAAGGCAUAAAUAUGGUACCACAAGUAAUAUAACAGCUCAAAAAGCAAUAAAUACCAACAUGAAAGCAUGAUACAAAAUGGACGUAUCAAUUCCCCCAAGCUUAGACCUCGCUUGUCCUCAAGCGAAAACCAAGUUCCAUAAACAUGUCCACAUGUUUGGGGACGAAGGUGUCGAUAAAACAUAAUACGGACAUGAGGGCAUCAUGAUCACACAUAGAACAACAAUACAUCAUAAAGAUUCUUAUGGGAAAGUAACAAUUCCUUCACAAAGUAAAGCAUGAAGCAAAAACCUUACCGAGAAGUAACCAACAAUAGUCCAUAGUCAUUGAAGCAAUUGCAAUUUAUCACAACAUCAGAAAUAGGCAAAUAAGAGCUUGUAAGGCAAACCCACAUACUCAAUCAUCUCUUUCGUUUUCCACAAUUGUUACAACUCACGUGGUACUCAUGGUGUCAAAGUUUCAGCUGGACACAGAGGAAGAUAGGGGCUUAUAGUUUUGCCUCCCAACGGUUUACCUCAAGGGUAAAGUCAAGAAAAAUAAAGCAUAAGUACUCAACUCCAAGUUGAUAUAUGAAUAUAGAUCUUUCCCAAACAUGUGACAGUUGCCAAGACAAAGGCAAAAAGGGAAUUGGUGAAGAUCACCAUGACUCUUACAAGGGCAAAAAGUAAAGUUACAAGAUAGGCCCUUCGCAGAGGGAAGCAGAGGUUGUCAUGCGCUUUUGAGGUUUGAAUGCGUGUCCUCUUAGUGCGGAGGAACGUCCCUUUAUAUUGCCUCCUGUGAUAAAGAACUUUAUUAUGCAGUCUGUCGCUUUUAUGUCUUCCUCAUCACAGGUUCGUACAAAGCUUAUUUUCCACACACUAAUAGAUCACACAUAUUAGAGAGCAAUUUUUUAUUGCUUGCACCGAUGACAACUUACUUGAAGGAUCUUAUUCAAGCCAUAGAUGGGUAUGGUGGACUCUCAUGGCAAAACUGGUUGGAGGUUUAUGGAUGCACAAGUAGUAUCUCUACUUGAUGCGGGAGUUUUGGCUAAUAUGAGGUGGAAGCAAUCGUCACAUGCUAAGGGAUCUCAAAUCAUAAAACAUUGUUUGGAACCAAGCAAAAACAAUUCAUUAUGUUGUCUUCCUUGUCCAACAUCUACUCCUAAGCAUGUAAUAGUUUGGUGAGUGCUCACAAUUGUAAAAAGUGGCUAAGAUGAUAUAUUUAUAUGUGAACCUCUCUUUCCUUAUUACUUCUUAUUAAUUGCAAUAAUGACUAAUGUCUAUGUUGAUUUAUUCUCAACAAGUUUCAAUCAUCAUACGUGUCAUAAGUGAAGUUAUCACUUUCCACAAGAUCGACUCAUGAUCUUUCAUGCUAUCGUUCUUUUCAUACUUUUUGAUCAUGGCACAAAGCAAAGCCCUUGACUAAGAAACUCUUUAUUAUAUAGCUCGUAAGCUCGAAUACAUCAGGGGGGGGGGAGACAAAAGCAAAAGACUCAAACUAAAAACUAAAGACUUAUUCCUCUAAAAGAAGAAAUAAAAACUGAAAAGGAAAGAACUAAAACAAAGGUAAAAGCAAAAUAUAUAAAGGUGAUACGAUACGAGGGCAACUCCCCCAAGCUUGGCAGAAGCCAAGGGGAUUGCCCAUACCAAUGCUUAGUUGUCUUCCUUUGGUGGUGAUGGUGGUGUUGUUGGAGCAGUCUUGAGCUUGUCUAAUUUCCACUUGAGCAAAAAGUUUUGCUCCCUUAGAUCGUCAUUUUCCUCCUCAAGUUUCAAAACUCUAUGCCAAAGCUCCUGCUUACUCUCUUGCAAGAAACGAGAAGGGGUAAAUAAAGUCUUGGGCUUCUUUCUUGAGUCGGGGAGGCUCGACUUCUUGAACUCCACAUGCGUGUCUCCAAUUUGAGGUAGAGGAGCCUCCUCCUCAUCGGAACUUGUUUGCCCCUUCCCCUUGGGAUCAUAUUCUUCUUCCUCCUCAGUGGUCCAGCCAUAAGGAUCCAAGUCCCCAUAGGCCUUGGGGUUAGCAAGGUCAUCUGCCACAUAGCUCUCCCCCUCUAAAUCUUGAGAAGACAUCUUGCCCUAAUUCUGUAGCAGAAAACAAGCUCGAAACGAAAACAGAGGGAAUUUGCAUGAUACACAGGUUAGACCCUUCGGGAGAAUAUAUAAUGAUUUUAUCCAGACCAGAAGGAGUAUUCCGCACGAAAACAGAGACCGGGAGGGGCACGAGGUGGCCACAAGCCCCCCAGCCCCGACCAGGGGGGUUGGCCGGGCCUAGGAGGCUUGUCGCCUCCUCAGGCACUUUCCGGACUGCUUUAAAUUUUUCUAUUUUUUAAAUAUUCCAAAAUGGAGGAAAAUUGCUACGGGAAAGGUUUUGGACUCGGUUUACUGACCGAAUCACAUACCUCUUCCUUUUCGGAGUCUGAAACAGGCUGAUAAGUAUCCCUUAUGUACUCCUCCGGAGUUAUGGUAUUGAUAAUAUUGCUCUCAACAUUUAUGGGAGUACCUGAGAUAUAAUGCUUGAUUCUCUGCCCAUUUACAACUCUUGGACAAUUACCUUCCAUGUUGUUGAUCUUGAUAGCACCGGAACGAUAUACUUCCUCAACAAUAUAGGGACCAUCCCAUUUAGAGAGAAGCUUGCCUGCAAAGAAUCUUAAACGAGAAUUGUAUAGCAAGACAUAAUCACCUACAUUGAACUCACGCUUUUGUAUCCUCUUAUCAUGCCACCUCUUAACCUUUUCUUUGAAUAACUAGGCAUUUUCAUAUGGCUGAGUUCUCCAUUCAUCAAGCGAGCUAUGUCAAAUAACCUCUUCUCACCAGCAUGUUUGAAAUCAAAGUUGAGCUCUUUGGUUGCCCAAUAAGCUUUAUGCACUAGCUCAAUAGGUAGAUGACAUGCUUUACCGUACACCAUUUUGUAUGGAGACAUGCCCAUGGGAUUCUUAUAGGCAGUUCUAUAAGCCCACAGUGCAUCAUCGAGCUUCUUAGACCAAUUGUUUCUAGACCUGUUGAUAGUCUUUUGCAGAAUCAGCUUAAUCUCUCUAUUGCUUAGCUCUACUUGACCACUGGACUGAGGGUGAUAGGGAGACGCAAUUCUAUGGUUGACAUCGUACUUAGCAAGCAUUUUAUGGAAAGCACCAUGAAUGAAAUGUGAACCACCGUCGGUCAUUAGAUAUCUAGGGACUCCAAACCUAGGGAAGAUAACUCCUUUAAGCAUCCUGAUAGAGGUGUUGUGAUCACCACUACUAUUGGGGAUAGCUUCCACCCACUUAGUGACAUAAUCAAGAACAACUAGGAUAUGAGUAUACCCGUUGGAUUUUGGAAAAGGUCCCAUAUAAUCAAAGCCCCAAACAUCAAAUGGUUGAAUGACAAGUGAAUAGUUCAUAGGCAUUUCCUGACGUUUACUAAUAUUAGCUAUUCUUUGACAUUCGUCACAAGACAAGACAAACUUACGGGCAUCCUUGAAGAGAGUGGGCCAAUAGAAACCUGAUUGCAAUACCUUGUGUGCAGUUCUAUCUCCCACAUGGUGUCCUCCAUAGGCCUCGGAGUGACACUUCUGUAGGAUCUAUCCCUGUUCAUGUUCAGGUACACAACAUCUAAUAACACCAUCUACUCCUUCCUUAUAAAGGUGAGGAUCAUCCCAAAAGUAAUGUCUCAAGUCAAAGAAGAAUUUCUUCUUUUGCUGAUACGUGAAACUGGGUGGUAUAUAUUUGGCAACGAUAUAGUUUGCAUAAUCAACAUACCACGGUGCACUACGUGAAGCAUUGAUGACACUCAAUUGCUCAUCGGGAAUGCUAUAUCAAUAGGUUGUGGAUCAUCAAGAACGUUCUCCAACCUAGACAAGUUAUCUGCUACAGGGUUAUCAACACCCUUCCUGUCGACAACGUGCUAGUCAAAUUCUUGUAGCAAGAGAACCCAUCUGAUAAGUCUAGGUUUAGCGUCCUUCUUCUCCAUCAGGUACUUAAUAGGAGCGUGAUCGGUGUGAAUAGUGACUUUGGAAUCAACUAUGUAAGACCUGAACUUUUCACAUGCAAACACGAGUGCUAAAAAUUCCUUUUCCGUAGUAGCAUAAUUUCUUUGGGCACUGUCCAGAGUUUUACUAGUGUAGUGAAUAACAUUCAGCUUCUUAUCAACUCUUUGCCCUAGGAUAGCACCAAUAGCAUAAUCACUAGCAUCACACAUAAUUUCAAAAGGUAAGUUCCAAUUAGGUGGUUGAACAAUAGGAGCAGUUAUCAAAGCCCUCCUAAGUAUUUCGAAGGCUUCCUCACAAUCAUUCUCAAAAACAAAAGGAAUAUCCUUUUGCAAGAGAUUGGUAAGAGGCCUAGAAAUCUUAGAGAAGUCUUUAAUGAACCUUCUAUAAAAACCAGCAUGACCAAGGAAACUUCUUAUACCUUUGAUAUCUGUGGGGUAUGGCAUUUUCUCUAUUGCAUCAACCUUAGCCUUAUCGACUUCAAUACCUCUUUCAAAAAAAUUAUGUCCUAAGACGAUGCCUUCAUUGACCAUAAAGUGGCACUUCUCCCAAUUCAAGACAAGAUUGGUGUCUUUACAUCUCCGCAAGACUCGAUCAAGGAUGCUGAGGCAAUCAUCAAAAGAAGACCCAUAAACGGAAAAGUCAUCCAUGAAAACCUCAACAAUCUUUUCACAAAAGUCAGAGAAUAUAGCCAUCAUACAUCUUUGAAAGGUGGCAUGUGCAUUACAUAAGCCAAAAGGCAUACGUCUAUAAGCAAAGGUACCGAAAGGGCAGGUGAAAGAGAUUUUCUCCUCAUCAGAUUGUGCAACUGGUAUUUGGGAGAAACCAGAAUAACCAUCUAGAAAGGAGAAGUGUGUGUGUUUAGACAGUCUUUCUAGCAUUUGGUCGAUAAAAGGUAAAGGGUAAUGAUCUUUCCUAGUGCCUUUAUUCAAUUUCCUAAAAUCGAUCACCAUCCUAUAGCCAGUAAUAAUCCUCUGUGGGAUCAAUUCAUCCUUAUCAUUAGGGACAACUGUAGUGCCUCCCUUCUUAGGGACGCAAUGCACCAGACUCAACCAAUCGCGAUGAGCAACAAGAUAAAUAAUACCUGCCUCCAGGAGCUUUAGUAUUACUUUUCUCACUACUUCUUUCAUUUUAGGAUUUAAUCUCCAUUGAUGAUCAACAACUGGUUUGGUAUCAGGAUCAGUUUUAAUCUUGUGUUGGCAUAGAGUGGGACUAAUUCCCUUAAGAUCAUCAAGAGUAUAUCCAAUAGCAGCACGGUGCUUCCUUAGAGUUUUUAGUAAUUUCUUUUCUUCAUGCUCUGAGAGGCUAGCACUAAUUAUGACAGGAUAUAUCUCUUUUUCAUCAAGAUAAGCAUACUUAAGAUCAUCAGGCAACUAUUUAAGCUCGAACACAGGAUCACCCUUUGGUGGGGGUGGAUCCCCAAGCAGCUCAACAGGCAGAUUAUUCUUAAGGAUAUGAUAUUGUUCUAAGACAACUCUAUCUAUCUCAUCCCUUUCAUCCAUAUGCAUAUCAUUUUCAUGGUCAAGCAAGUAUUGCUCUAAGGAAUCAGUAGGAGGCACGGUAAUAGAACCUAAGGCAAUAGUUUCAUCCUCACUAGGCAACUCCUUUUCAUGAGGUUGUCUACCAAACUUGGAGAAAUUGAACUGAAGUGACACACCUUCAACACCAACAGUGACAGUUUGCUUCUCACAAUCAAUAUGAGCAUUGACAGUAUUGAGAAAAGGUCUGCCAAAUAUGAUGGGACAAAAGCUAUCUUGGGUGGUAGCAAGAACGAGGAAAUCAGCAGGAUACUUCAUUUUACCACACAAGACUUCAACAUCCCUAACAAUUCCCACAUGGCAGACAAUAUUUCUAUUGGCAAGCUGAAUAGUGACAUCAAUAGGCUCUAUCUCAAGAGGUGCAAUCUCAUCUUUGAUUUCAUCAUAUAAGGAUUGAGGUAUUGCACUAACACUAGCACCCACGUCACAUAAACCAUGAUAGGAGUGAUCUCCUAUAUUAAUAGAAACAACAGGCGUGCCAACAACAACCUUAUGUUUGUCUCUAGCAUGAGGUUUAGCAAUUCUAGCAGCAUCUUCACAGAAGUGAAUAUUAUGUCCCUCAACAUCGUCGGACAAAAGAUCUUUUAUAAUAGCAAUGCUAGGUUCAACUCUAAUUUGCUCAGGGGGUGUAGGUGUUCUAAUGUAGCCUCUACGUAUCACAGUUGAGGCUUUAGAAUGAUCCUUUAUCCUAACAGGGAAAGGUGGUUUCUGAAUGUAAGCACUGGGAACAACAGGAUCAUUAUAGUCUAUGACUCUUUCUUCAACUGGAUUGGGUUUAACUACAUUGACUUCUAAAGGAGGAGGAUAUUUAAACUACUUUUCUUUGGGGAUAUUGUUACGGCAACAGACAACAGUGCCAUGAAUUGACACGUUGACGGAGUCUGGGCUUGCGUUGGUUUUUCCCUUGAAGAGAAAAGGGUGAUGCAGCAUAGGAGCAGUAAGUAUUUCCCUCAGUUUUGAGAACCAAGGUAUCAAUCCAGUAGGAGAAUCUCAUCAAGUCCAGAGUACCUGCACAAACACAAAAGAGCUUGCACCCAACGCUUUAAAGGGGUUGUCAAUCCCUUCAAGAUUGAUUGCAAAGUGAGAUCUGAAGGCGGAAAGUGCAACGAAGUAAAAAGUGUAAGGCUGAAAAUAUGGUGUGGAGUAGACCCGGGGGCCAUAGUAUUCACUAGAGGCUUCUCUCAAAAUAGAAAAUAUCACGGUGGGUGAACAAAUUACUGUCGAGCAAUUGAUAGAACCGCGCAAAGUCCUGACGAUAUCUAAGCCAAUGAUCAUCCAUAUAGGCAUCACUUCCGACACAAGUAGACCGAUACUUUCUGCAUCUACUACUAUUAGUCCACACAUGGACCGCUAACCAGCAUGCAUCUAGUGUAUUGAGUUCAUGGCGAACAGACUAACGCCUUAAGCAAGAUGACAUGAUGUAGAGGGAUAAUGUCAAACCAAUGAUGAAAACCCUAUCUUUUUACCCUUGAUGGCAACAACACGAUGCGUGCCUCGCUACCCCUUCUGUCACUCGGUGAUGUCACCACAUGGUAUGAACCCAAAACCAAGCACUUCUCCCAUUGCAAGAACCAUAGAUCUAGUUGGCCAAACAAAACCCACAACUCGAAGAGAAUUACAAGGAUAUGAAAUCAUGCAUAAGAGAGAUCAGAAGAAACUCAAAUAAGAUUCAUAGAUAAUCUGAUCAUAAAUCCACAAUUCAUCGGAUCUCGACAAACACACCGCAAAAGAAGAUUACAUUGGAUAGAUCUCCAUGAAGAUCAUGGAGAACUUUGUAUUGAAGAUCCAAGAGAGAGAAGAAGCCAUCUAGCUACUAGCUAUGGACCCGUAGGUCUAUGGUAAAUUACUCAAGCAUCAUCGGAGAGGUCAUGGUGUUGAUGAAGAAGCCCUCCGUGUCCGAAUCCCCCCUCCGGCAGGGCACCAGAACGUGCCCUAGAUGGGAUCUUGUGGAACAGAAGCUUGCGGCAGCGGAAAAGUUCUUUCGAUGAUCUCUUGAUUAUUUUGGGAUUUUUAGGGAAUAUAUAGGCGCAAAACCUAGGGCAAAGGAGCCUCAGGGAGCCCACAAGCCAGGGGGCCGCGGGCCCCCAUGGCCGGGCCAUGAGGGCUUGUGGGUCCCUGGUGGGCCCCUGCCCUGAUUCUCGGGCUCUCCGAUCUUUUUGUGUACUAGAAAAAAUCUUUUUGGAAGUUUCAUUCCGUUUGGACUCCUUUCAAAAUCCUCCUCUGAAAGGGGUCAAAAACAUGGAAAAACAGGAACUGACACUUGGCACUGAGUUAAUAAGUUAGUCCCAAAAAAUAUAUAAAAGGCAUACAAAACAUCCAAAGUUUGACAAGAUAAUAGCAUGAAACCAUAAAAAAUUAUAGAUACGUUGGAGAUGUAUCAAGCAUCCCCAAGCUUAACUCGUGCUCGUCCUCGAGUAGGGAAGUGAUAAAGAAUGAAUUUUUGAUGUGGAAUGCUACCUAGCAUAGUUGUCCUUUGCAACUUCUUUCACGUGACAUGAAUGUUCAGAUCCGUAAGAUUCAAAACAAUAGUUUGCUAUUGAAAUGAAAACAAUAAUACUUCAAGCAAACUAGCAAGGUAAUCAUGAACUUUCAAAAUAACAUGGCCAAAGAAAGUUAUCCCUACAAAAUCAUAUAGUCUGGCUAUGCUCCAUCAUCCUCACACAACUAAUGUAAAUCAUGCACAACCCCGGUAUUGGCCAAGUAAUUGUUUUCACACUCUUACUUUCUCAAACUUUUUAUAACUAUCACGCAAUACAUGAGCGUGAGCCAUGGAUAUAACACUAUAGGUGGAAUAGAGUGUGGUGGUGGUUGUCAGACAAAAAGGAGGAGAUGGUCACAUUGACUCGGCGUAUCAAAGGGCUAUGGAGAUGCCCAUUAAUAGAUAUCAAUGUGAAUGAGUAGGGAUUGCCAUACAAGGGAUGCACUAGAGCUAUAAGUAUGUGAAAGCUCAAAAGUAGAACUAGUGGGUGUUCAUCCAACUUGCUUGCUCACGAAGACCUAGGGCAAUUUUGAGGAAGCCCAUCGUUGGAAUAUACAAGCCAAGUUAUAUAAUGAAGAUUCCCACUAGCAUAUGGUGGUGACGAAACGAGAGGCUCUCAAUCAUGAAGAACAUGGUGCUAUUAUGAAGCACAAGUGUGGAAAAGGAUAGUAGCAUUGUCCCUUCUCUCUUUUUCUCUCUUCUCUUUUUUUUAUUUGGGAUCUUGGGCCUCUUUUUUCUCUUUUCUCCUCUUUUUUUUAUUGGGCACUUUGGCCUCUUUUUUUUAUUUCUCACAUCGGACAAUGCUCUAAUAAUGAUGAUCAUCACACCUUUAUUUACUCAUAGCUCAAAGCGAUGAUGACUCUAUAGGAAAUGCCUCCGGCAGUGUACCGGGAUGUGCAACGAUCUUGCUUGGUGUAUGACGUUGAAACAUCUCGCUAGCUAUCUUACGAUCAUGCAAUGGCAAUAUGAGGGUGACGGCACAAGUCAUGAGACGGAAUGGUGGGAGUUGCAUGGCAAUAUAUCUCAGAAUGGCUAUGAAAAUGCCAUAGUAGGUAGAUAUGGUGGCUGUUUUGAGGAAGGCAUAUGGUGGGUUUAUGUACCGGGGAAGUUGCGCGACACUAGAGAAGCUAGCAAUGGUGGAAGGUGAAAGUGCAUCUAUACCAUGGACUCACAUUAGUCAUGAAGAACUCACAUACUUGUUGCGAAAGUUUUUAUUAGUAACCGAAACAAAGUGCUAAACGCAUACUCCUAGGGGAAGGGUUGGUAGGUGAUAACCAUCACGCGAUCCCGACCUCAACACAAAGGAUGACAAUCAAUAGAUCAAUUAUGCUUCGACUUCCUAACAUAGCGGUUCACCGUACGUGCAUGCUACGGGAAUCACUAACUUCAACACAAGUAUUUCUAGAUUCACAACACCCUACUAACAUAACUCUUAAUAUUACUGAAUCCACGUCUCAAAAUUAAUUGAGAGGAAUCAAGACUUCUCUUUCUACUCAAUGCACAUGAAGAUGGAGGUUUUUUUAUCCUAUUUUGGUACCUAUCACCUUUGGGACUACUUUCAUAGCAUAAGCCAACUACCAAGUCACGCACCACCGUGCUCUAAAAGAUAUAAGUGAAGCACAUAGAGCAAAAUUAUCUAGCUCAAAAGAUAUAAGUGAAGCACUAUGAGCAUUCUAGCAAAAUCACGAUGAGUGCAUGUCUCUCUCUCUCAAAAGGGUGUGCAGCAAGGAUUAUUGUGACACAACAAAAAGAAAAGACUCCUACGAUACAAGACGCUCCAAGCAAAACACAUAUGAUGUGGUGAAUAAAAAUAUAGCUCCAAGUAAUGUUACCGAUGGAUUGAGGACGAAAGAGGGGAUGCCUUCCCGGGGCAUCCCCAAGCUUAGGCUUUUUGGUGUCCUUGAAUUUGGCUUGGGAUGCCUUGGGCAUCCCCAAGCUUGAGCCCUUUCAACUCCUUAUCUCUUUGUCCAUGAGAACAUCACCCAAAACUUGAAAACUUCACAACACAAACCUUAAAUAGAAACUCGUGAUAACAUUAUCAAAAGAAAACAAACUACCACCUCCUUUGGUACUGUAGCAAACUUGAAUUCUAUCUAUAUUGGUGUUGGGCUACUGUAUUCUCACUUUUCCCUGGCUAGUACCCCUCGAUACUAACCAUAGUUUCAUCAAAACAAGGAAUCAACUCAACAAAAACAGAAGCUGUCAAAAACAGACGAGUCUGUAGCAAUCUGUAUACUUCGUAUACUUACGGUACCUCAAAAAUUCUGAAAAAUUACGAAUGCCUAGGAAAAAGGUAUAUCAACAAGCAGCAAAAAGAAUCAACUCAAAAGCUCUUUCUUAAUAAAAAUGAAAAAUCAUCUCGUGAGCGAAAAGUUUCUGUCUUUUUCCAGCAGGAUCAAAGAACCAUUACCAAGACUAGUCAUAAAGAUUUUGCUUGGCUCAAACACAAAAAGAAACACAAAAAACACAAUCACAACAGAAUUAUGAUGGUGUGGACGCAACAAAACAGAAAGAAAAAAGAUAAAUUCAUUGGGUUGCCUCCCAACAAGUGCUAUUGUUUAACGCCCUUAGCUAGGCAUAAGGCAAACAUAUCUAAGUCUAACAUACUUCCUAUGCAUAGGCAUUUUAUAGGAAAACGAAUUGUCAAGACAACCAAUAACUACCAUAUACAAGGAAGAAGAAAGAGACAAUGUCAAUCUGAACAUAACGAGAGGUAAUUUAGUGAUAUGAAAGUUUCUACCACAAUAUUUUCUUCUGUCAUAACAAUUGCAUGUGGGAUCAUCAUCAAAUUUAACAAUAUAGCUAUCACAUAGGAUAUUCUUUUCAUGAUCCUCAUGCAUGCAAAGUUGACGCUCUUCAAUAAUAGUGGGAUUAUCAUCAACUAAAGUCAUGACUUCUCCAAGCCCACUUUCAAUAUUAUUGCAAAUAUCAUAUUCAUCAUGAGGCUUAAACAAAUUUUCAAGAUCAUAAUAAAAAUCAUCGCCCCACUCAUGAUCAUUGCAAGAAGUAGUGGACAUAGCAAAACUAGCAUCCCCAAGCUUAGGGUUUUGCAUAUUUUUAGCAUGAUUGUCACUAAUAGAAUUUAUGGUGAAACCAUUGCAAUCAUGCUUUUCAUCCAAGGAUCCCUCAUGAAUCACUUCAUAAAUUUCUUCCUCACAAUUUUGAAAUUCAUGCAUCUCAAGCAAAACUCCAUAAAGAUGGUCAAGUGCACUCAACUCACUAGCAAUUGGAUCAACAUAAUUGGAUCUCUUAAAGAGAUUAGCAAGUGGAUGAGGAUCCAUAUCACUAGAUUUUCAGCAAGCGAAGAUGCAAGCAUAUUGAAGGCACAUGGCACACAAGCAAACAGAAAGCAAGCAAGAGAAAGGGCGAAUGAAAAGGCGAACGAAAAAGGCAAACAAAAAAAGGCAAAUUGGUGAAUUGGGGGAGAGGAAAACGAGAGGCAACUGGCAAACAAAGUAAAUGCAAGAGAUGAGUUUGCGACACUUACUAGGAUGAGUUCUUGACUUGAUCCUCCGUGGCAACGGCGCCAGAAAUUCUUCUGCUACGGCAACAGACAACAACGCCAGGAAUUGACACGUUGACGGAGAAUGGGCUUGCGUUGGUUUUUCCCUUGAAGAGGAAAGGGUGAUGCAGCACGAUAGCAGUAAGUAUUUCCCUCAGUUUUGAGAACCAAGGUAUCAAUCCAGUAGGAGAAUCUCGUCAAGUCCAGAGUACCUGCACAAACACAAAAGAGCCUGCACCCAACACAUUAGAGGGGUUGUCAAUCCCUUCAAGAUUGAUUGCAAAGUGAGAUCUGAAGGCGGAAAGUGCACCGAAGUAAAAAGUGUAAGGCUGAAAAUAUGGUGUGGAGUAGACCCGGGGGCCAUAGUGUUCACUAGAAGCUUCUCUCAAAAUAGCAAAUAUCACGGUGGGUGAACAAAUUACUGUCGAGCAAUUGAUAGAACCGCGCAAAGUCAUGACGAUAUCUAAGGCAAUGAUCAUACAUAUAGGGAUCACGUCCGAGACAAGUAGACCGAUACUUUCUGCAUCUACUACUAUUACUCCACACAUCGACCGCUAUCCAGCAUGCAUCUAGUGUAUUGAGUUCAUGACGAACAGAGUAACGCCUUAAGCAAGAUGACAUGAUGUAGAGGGAUAAUCUCAAACCAAUGAUGAAAACCCCAUCUUUUUACCCUUGAUGGCAACAACACGGUGCGUGUCUCGCUACCCCUUCUGUCAUUGGGUGAGGUCACCGCACGGUAUGAACCCAAAACCAAGCACUUCUCCCAUUGCAAGAAUCAUAGAUCUAGUUGGCCAAACAAAACCCACAACUCGAUGAGAAUUACAAGGAUAUGAAAUCAUGCAUAAGAGAGAUCAGAAUAAACUUAAAUAGGAUUCAUAGGUAAUCUGAUCAUAAAUCCAAAAUUCAUCGGAUCUCGACAAACACACCGCAAAAGAAGAUUACAUCGGAUAGAUCUCCAUGAAGAUCAUGGGGAACUAUGCAUUAAAGAUCCAAGAGAGAGAAGAAGCCAUCUAGCUACUAGCUAUGGACCCAGAGGUCUAUGGUGAACUACUCACGCAUCAUCGGAGAGGUCAUGGUGUUGAUGAAGAAGCCCUCCGUGUCCGAAUCCCCCCUCCGGCAGGACACCAGAACGUGCCCCAGAUGGGAUCUUGCGGAGACAAAAGCUUGCGGCGGCGGAAAAGUUCUUUCGAUGAUCUCCUGAUUUUUUUGGGAUUUUUAGGGAAUAUAUAGGCACAAAACCUAGGGCAAAGGAGCCUCAGGGAGCCCACAAGCCACGGAGACGCGGCCCCCCUGGCCACGCCAUGAGGGCUUGUGGGGUCCCUGGUGGGCCCCUUCCCUGAUUCUCCGGCUCUCCGAUCUUUUUCUGUUCUAGAAAAAAUCUUUUUGGCAGUUUCAUUCCGUUUGGACUCCGUUCAAAAUCCUCCUCUGAAAGGGGUCAAAAAACAUGGAAAGAACAGAAACUGGCACUUGGCACUGAGUUAAUAAGUUAGUCCCAAAAAAUAUAUAUAAGGCGUACAAAACAUCCAAAGUUUGACAAGAUAAUAGCAUGAAACCAUCAAAAAUUAUAGAUACGNNNNNNNNNNNNNNNNNNNNNNNNNNNNNNNNNNNNNNNNNNNNNNNNNNNNNNNNNNNNNNNNNNNNNNNNNNNNNNNNNNNNNNNNNNNNNNNNNNNNNNNNNNNNNNNNNNNNNNNNNNNNNNNNNNNNNNNNNNNNNNNNNNNNNNNNNNNNNNNNNNNNNNNUUAUAGAUACGUUGGAUACGUAUCAGAUAUCAAUAUGAGCAGCAAAUGAUUCACACAAUGAAGCUACUAUGUGAGAGUCAAGUCCAUACUUAGCGUUAAAGUCACAAAAAGUGUUUGUUUCAACAAAGGAUUUAACACAAUCAAACUGGAAAUUCAUACCUGACUCCUUACCUUCUUCAAGCUCCCAAUCUUCAGAGUUGCGUUUAAUUAUCUCCAAUAAAUUCCAUUUGAAGUCAAUAUCUCUCUUCAUAAAAGAACCGGUACAAGAAGUAUCAAGCAUGGUGCGAUCAUCAUGAGAAAGCCGAGCAUAAAAGUUCAGAAUGAUAAUUUCUCUUGAGAGCUCAUGAUUGGGGCAUGAAUAUAACAUUGAUUUAAGCCUCCCCCAAGCUUGAGCGAUGCUUUCUCUGUCACGAGGCCAAAAAUUAUAAAUAUAAUUCCGAUCACAAUGUACUAAAUGCAUAGGAUAAAACUUUUGAUGAAAUUCCAAUUUCAACCGAUUUUAGUCCCAUGAUCCAGUAUCAUCACAUAGCCUAUACCAUGUCAACGCCUUAUCCUUCAAAGAUAAAGGAAAGACCUUCUUCUUGACCUCAUCCCCGAGCAAACCUGCAAGCUUAAAUAAACCACAAGCUUCAUCUACAUAGAUUAGAUGCAAGUCUGGAUGUGAUGUUCCAUCUCCUGUAAAAGGAUUAGCCAGCAGUUUCUCAAGCAUACCCGAAGGAAAUUCAAAGAAAAUAUUUUCUGUAGGUGCAGCAGGUUGAGGAGCAACUCUUUGUGCUUCCAUUCAAGGUGAAGAUACCCCGAACAAGCCCCUCAAAGGAUUAGUAUCCAUAGUGACAAGUGACAAUGAAUUUUUGCACACUAUAUGAAUGUUUCCUUACCAGGUUCCACUUACCAAAGGCGCUUCACUCCUUGGCAACGGCGCCAGAAAAGAGUCUUGAUAACCCACAAGUAUAGGGGGUCAAUUGUAGUCCUUUCGAUAAGUAAGAGUGUCAAUCCCAACGAGGAGCAGAAGGAUCUGACAAGUGGUUUUCAGCAAGGUAAUAUCUCCAAGCGCUGAAACUAUCGGUAACAAGUGAUUGUAUGGUGAGAUGAUUCGUAGCAAGCAACAAGUAACAAAAGUAGCAAUGGUGCAACAAAGUGGCCCAAUCACUUUUGUAGCAAGGGACAAGCCUGGACAAAGUCUUAUAGGAGGAAAAACGCUCCCAAGGACACACGGGAAUUUCUAUCAUGCUUAGUUUCAUCAUGUUCAUAUGAUUCGCGUUCGUUACUUUGAUAGUUUGAUAUGUCGGUGGACCAGCGCUUGGGUACUGCCCUUACUUGGACAAGCAUCCCACUUAUGAUUAAUCCCUUUCACAAGCAUCCGCAACUACGAAAGAAGAAUUAAGACAAAGUCUAACCAUAGCAUUAAACUAGUGGAUCCAAAUCAGCCCCUUACGAAGCAACGCAUAAACUAGGGUUUAAGCUUCUGUCACUCUAGCAACCCAUCAUCUCCUUACUACUUCCCAAUGCCUUCCUCUGGGCCCAAAUAACGGUGAAGUGUUAUGUAGUCGACGUUCACAUAACACCACUAGAGGAGAAACAACAUACAACACAUCAAAAUAUCUAACGAAUACCAAAUUCACAUGACUAUGAUUAGCAUGACUUAUCCCAUGUCCUCGGGAACAAAAGUAACUACUCACAAAGCAUAAUCAUGUUCGUGACCAGAGAGGUAAUGAGUAGCAUCGAGGAUCUGAACAUAAACUCUUCCACCAAAUAAUCCAACUAGCAUCAACUACAAGGAGUAAUUGACACUACUAGCAACCUUACAAGUACCAAUCGGAGUCAUGAGACGGAGAUUGGUUACAAGUGAUGAACUAGGGUUUGGAGAUCAGAUGGUGCUGAUGAAGAUGUUGAUGGUGACGAGUCCCCUCCGAUGAGAGGAGUGUUCGUGAUGACGAUGGCGACGAUUUCCCCCUCCGGGAGGGAAGUUCCCCGGCAGGAUCGUCCUACCGGAGCUCUAGAUUGGUUCUGCUCAAGUUUUGGCUCGUGGCGGUGGCGAAACCUCCGAAAAGCUCCCCCCUGAUUGUUUUUCCGGACGAAACCCUUCAUAUAGCAAAAUAUGAGCGCCAGAGGGGCAACAGGGGGCCCACAGGCCCUCCAGCCCCGGCCAGGGGGGUAGGCCGGGCCUGGCAGGCUUGUGGCCUCCAGGUCGAGCCCCUCUGGUACUUCUUUCGCCAACAUUUUUUAUAUAUUCCCAAAAAAUUCCACGUUGAUUUUCACGACUUGUGGAGUUGCGCAGAAUAGGCAUCUCAAACUUGCUCCUUUCUCAGGCCAGAAUUCCUGCUGUCGGCAUUCUCCCUCUUCAUGUAAACGUUGCGAAAUAAGAGAGAAAAGGCAUAAGUAUUGUACCUCGGAGUGUAAUAACAGCCCAAAAAGCAAUAAAUAUCAACAUGAAAACAUGAUGCAAAAUGGACGUAUCAGUCCACAUGUUUCAUGCUAUGGUUAGAUUUGUCUUAAUUCUUCUUUCGUAGUUGCAGAUGCUUGUGAGAGGGUUAAUCAUAAGUGGCUUGCUUGUUCAAGUAAGAAUACCACUUUAGCACCAUUCCACCCACAUAUCAAAUUAGCAAAGUAACGAACGUGAAUCAACUCAACAUGAUGAACAUGACUAGACCGAGAUUCCCAUGUGUCCUUAGAGCGCUUCCUUCAUAUAAGAGUACUUUCACGAUCGUCCUUUGCUAUAAGAAGGAUUGAGGUUACUUGCUGCACAUUUUAUACUAUUGUUACUCAACACCUGCUAUGAAGUAUCUUUCUACAAAACUAUUUAUCAUCGUUACUCACAUAACUUGUCGAGAAUACCUUGCUAAAAUUGCGUAUCAUUUCCUUUCGCUCCUCAUUAGGUUCGACACUCCUACUUAUCGAAAAGACUACGAUUGAGCCCCCUAUGCUUGCGGGUCAUCAAGGCACUUUUCUAUCACUAUUGUCGUAGAGUGAAGCUCCUUUGGUAAGUGGAAUUUGGUAAGGAAACAUUUUCGGAACUAGCUGUAAUUUACCGUUGGUUGCUAAUAUAGAUAAUCAUCCUUUGAGUGGUUUGUUUGGGGCAUCAUUGCGUCAAACAUAAGUGGCAAAAGCCACUACUCAACCUACAGAACUUUCUGAAAAAUUUUAUUUUGAUAUUUCAUCGGGUAUUUAGAGAAACUGCUAGCUAAUGCUUUUGCAGGAGAUGGUAGAACUCAUCCUUAUUACCACUUGAUACAUGUAGAUGAGAUUUGUGGAUUAUUUAAGGUUCUAGGUUUAUCCGAGGAUAAGGUCAAUAAGAAUGUUUUGCUAUUAUCUUUGGAGGGAAAAUAAUUUAUGUGGUAUAGGCUAUUGGAUGAUAUUGGUUCAUGGGACUGGAAUCGCUUGAAGCUGGAAUUUUGUCAGAAGUUUCAUCUUAUGCAUCUAGUUCAUCGUGAUCGGAACUAUAUACAUAAUUUCUGGCCUCGUGAAGGAGAAGGCGGUGCUCAAGACUGGGAGAGGCUUAAGUCUAUGAUGCACACUUUCCCGAACCAUGAGCUCUCAAGAGAAACGAUUAUACAAAACUUCUAUGCUCGACUUUCUCAUGAUGAUCAAUUAGUACUCGAUUUUCUUCUACUUGUUCCUAAAUGAAGAUAACUAUUGAAUCCAAAUGGGAUAUUUUGGAAAGAAUUAAACGCAACUCUAGAUAUAGGGAACUUGAUAGAAGUAAAGAGUCGGGUAUAAAGCUUGAGUUUGAUUGUGUUAUAUCUUUUAUGGAAACUCAUUCUUUUCAUAAGUUUAGCAAUAAAUACAGACUUGACUAUGAGAAAGUAGCUUCUUUAUGUGAAUCAUUUGCUACCCAUGUUGAUCUCCUUAAGGAGAAGUGGUUUCAAUUUCAUCGACCCAUUGAAGAAUUAUUAUAGAAACCCAUUAAGGUUAAAUAGGAAAUAAUUGUUAACCUUGUCGAUCAACUAGUGCCUACUACUUAUUUUGAGAAACCACCUUUUCCUAUUAGGAUUAAGCAACAUGCUAAGGCUUCAAUAGUGGUUAAUAAAAGUAAUAUUAGGAGACCUAAACCUUCUGAGAAAAUAAAAGUAGAACCUAAUAUUUAUAUGGUUAAAGAUAUUCUAGUUGAUAAUAUUGAUGGCCUAGUUAUUUACUUUUGUGCUGAAGCUACUAAAAUUGCAAAUCUUGUUAGAAACAAGCAGGAUGGGUUAGAUAAAAAUAAAUCAAUUGCUGGCAUGCCCAUUGUUUCUGUUAAAAUUGGAGAUCAUUGUUAUCAUGGCUUGUGUGAAAUUGGUGCUAGUUCUAUACCUUUUACGUUAUACCAAGAAAAUAUGCAUGAUAUAUCACCCACUGAGAUUGAAGAUAUUGAUGUCACUAUUAAACUCGCAAACAGAUACACUAUUUCACCACUCGGGAUUGUUAGAGAUGUUGAAGUCUUAUGUGGAAAAAUUAAGUAUCAUACUGAUUUAUUAGUACUUGGUUCACAACAAGAUAGCUUUUUUCCCAUCAUAUUUAGUAGACCUUUCUUGAAUAUCCUUAUUCCUGAAAUUAAUUGUCUUACUCAGAAGGUUAAAGUAAAAUUUGGUAAUAUGUAUCAUGAAUUUAAUUUAUCCAAGUUUAGUAGACAACCACAUGAAAUUAUGUAGUAAGGAUGCAAUUAUUGGUGUUUAUUCUAUUGCUAUGCCUCCUAUGGAUCCUUUGAACAAUACUUGCUAGACCAUGAGAAUGACAUGCAUAUGAAUGAAAGAAAUGAACAAGAUGAAAAUUUCUUUAGACAAACACCUAUUCUUAAACAAAAUUUGCCUAUUGAUAUUUUAGGGGAUUGUCCUCCACCCAAGGGAGAACCCAUGUAUGAUCUAAACAAAUUACAUGAUACUUUGAAAUAUACUUAUCUCUAUGAAAACAAGAUAUAUCCUAUUAUUAUUAGUGCUAACGUUUGAGAGGAUGAAGGUAAGAGAUUACUUCAAACUCUAAGGAAGCACAGAUCUACUAUUGGAUAUACUCUCUAUAAUCUUAAGGGCAUUAGUACCAUUAUAUGUCAGCACAAAAUGAAUACGGAACAAAAUGAUAAACCUAUUGUUGAUCAUUAACGCUGCUUAAACCCUAAGAAGAAGGAAGCGGUAAGAACUGAAAUAUUAAAGCUUCUGGAGGCAGUUAUAAUUUAUCAUAUUGGUGAUAGUAGAUGGGUAAGUCAUGUUCAUUGUGCGCCUAAUAAAGGAGGUAUAAUUGUUGUUCUUAACGAUAAAAAUGAACUUAUCCCACAAAGAAUCAUAAAUGGUUAUAGGAUGGUAAUCGAUUUCACGAAAUGAAACAAAGGUCAUUACCCCUUGCCUUUUAUUGACCAAAUGCUAGAGACAUUAUCUAAGCACACACAUUUUAGUUUCUUGAUGGAUAUUUGUGAUUCCCCUGACUUAGUCAUGAAGUAAUCAUAUAGGCAAAUCCGCACAAUCAAUAUCGGAGGCUCAUAGGAAGAUAUCACUACACAACUAUAGACACAUAUAAAGUAAUACAAGCUUUAUAUUACAAGCGAGGGGCCUCGAGGGCUCGAAUACAAUUGAUUCAGCGGAAGCAACAAUAUCUAAGUUCAAACAUAAGUAAACAAGUAUGCCUUAAGAAGCCUAGCAAAAGCAACAACAUCUAGAUUGAAAAGGCGCAAGCCACUUGCCUGGGAGCCUCCUAACUACUCCUCGUCGGCGGCAGCCUCCACUCAGUAGUAGCCUCUGUCGGGGUAGUAGUAGUCAUCGGCGGGAUCAAUUGGCUCAUGGGCUCCUUCAUCUGAUCGCAGCAAUCAUAUUGAGGGGAAAAAGGAAGCAAAGCAAUGGAAAGUACUCAUCCGAAGUACUCGCUAGACUUACAUCAUAUCUAUACUAAGUAUGCAUCAGUAUCAAAGGCAUGGGGCUAUAUCUUUGGACUGAAAUACAGAAAUGCCAGAAGAGAGGGGAAAAGCCUAGUAUAUCAAAGACUAGCAUCUUCUAGCGUCUUGCAGCGUUGGAAGAGUUCACAUUAGUUCAACAUAUGUAAGCUUGUAGUAUUAAGGACGAGAGAUCAUUCCUCGACUUCCUUGACUUCGAGCGUCUUGCAAUCAUUGGGGAACGUCGCAUGGGAAACAAAAAAUUCCUACGCGCACAUAAGAUAUAUCCAUGGUGAUAAGCAUCUACGAGAGGAGAGAGUGCAUCUGCAUACCCUUGUAGAUCGCCAAGAGGAAGCGUAUAUAACAUUGUUGAUGUAGUCGAACUUCUUCACGAUCCAAAUCGCAAGCCGUCCCGCGAACACAUCAUGAUCCCUCCCGCGAUCUCAUCACGAUCCAUCCCGAUCUAGUGCCCAACAGAUGGCACCUCCGUGUUCAGCACACGUACAGAUCGAUGACAAUCUAUGCCUUCUUGAUCUAGCAAGAGGGAGCAGAGAGGUAGCUGAGUUCUGCGAUAGACUAGCGGCAUGGCGGUGAUGGUGGGGGAGCUGAUCCGACAGGGCUUCAUCGUGCACUGCCGAACCUAUUCUAGAGGAAGAACAAACUAGAGGGAGGGAGCGGGGUUGCGCCUUAGAUUAAGGUGUUGGCUGCCCUCUCUCCCCUCUAGUAUAUAUAGGAGGAUAAGGGAAGGGGUGGCACACCAAAAGGAGGAUUCCUCCUCCACUAAGGGAGGUGGAGUCCUACUCCUAGUAGGAUUCCCUCCCAACUUAGCCUCCUCCUACCUCCUUGGCGCAAGGGCCUUUAGGGGCUGGCUGCCGAUCCCACUAAGGGCUGGUGCACCACCUCUUAGGCCCAUGUGUGGACUUCUCCCGAUGNNNNNNNNNNNNNNNNNNNNNNNNNNNNNNNNNNNNNNNNNNNNNNNNNNNNNNNNNNNNNNNNNNNNNNNNNNNNNNNNNNNNNNNNNNNNNNNNNNNNCAAAAUCGGUGCCACCAAGAAUUCUAUUUCGGCCCCACCGAUUUUUCCGCAAACAAAACCUUUGCCAAACCCUAAUCUCUCGGUACCACCAACUUUCAUAUCGGUGCCACUGAAAGUUAGUCACGAACUUUCUGUUCUGUCAAUUUAAAGAAUCAGAAUUUCCGAGUUUUAAAAUCAGUCUUACCGAGAUUUGGAAAUCACCCUAGGUCACAAAAUCGGAACCACCGAGAUUCAUAUAUCAGUCUCACCGAGAAUUUAAAACUUGGCCACAUUUGGUGCAACUCGGUACCACUGAGAUUCAUGUCAGUGUCACUUAGUUGGGCAAUAAUGUUGUAUCGGUUGGAUUUUGGGAGAUGCCUAUUGAUGUCAGCUGUGCUUCCCUGGCAACGAUGCUGGGAAUACUUCUGCUACUGCAACAAAAGACCUUCCAACGUCGCCAGAAAUAGGUGUGUCGAUGGCACCAGGAAUCCUUNNNNNNNNNNNNNNNNNNNNNNNNNNNNNNNNNNNNNNNNNNNNNNNNNNNNNNNNNNNNNNNNNNNNNNNNNNNNNNNNNNNNNNNNNNNNNNNNNNNNNNNNNNNNNNNNNNNNNNNNNNNNNNNNNNNNNNNNNNNNNNNNNNNNNNNNNNNNNNNNNNNNNNNNNNNNNNNNNNNNNNNNNNNNNNNNNNNNNNNNNNNNNNNNNNNNNNNNNNNNNNNNNNNNNNNNNNNNNNNNNNNNNNNNNNNNNNNNNNNNNNNNNNNNNNNNNNNNNNNNNNNNNNNNAAGUAUUUCCCUCAGUUUGAGAACCAAGGUAACGAUCCAGUGAAGGAGUAUCACAAGAGCCUACACAAACACAAAGAACCUGCUCCCAACGCUAUGAAGGGGUUGUCAAUCCCUUAUAGAUUGUUCGCCAAGUGAGAACUGAAAGCAACAAAGUAACAAAGCAAAGUAAAAGCGUAGGUCUAAACGGUAGAUGUGAAUAGACCCGGGGGCCGUAGUGUUUACUAGUGGCUUCUCUCAUGAAAGCAAGUAGACGGUGGGUGAACAAAUUACCCUCGAGCAAUUGAUAGAACCGCGCAAAGUCGUGACGUCAUCUAUGGCAAUGAUUAUAUCUAUAGGCAUCACGUCCAAAACAAGUAGAACGAUACUUUCUGCAUCUACUACUAUUACUCCACACGUCGACCGCUAUCCAGCAUGCAUCUAGUAUAUUAAGGCCAAAAGAACAGAGUAACGCCUUAAGCAAGAUGACAUGAUGUAGAUGGACAAUCUCAUAUCAACGACAGAGCCCACCUUGUUACCCUUGAUGGCAACCAAUCAAUGUGUGCCUUGCUGCCCCUACUAUCUAGGGAUGGCAAUUUUGCCCAUGGAUUCAGAUAUCCACGGAUACCCGACCCGGUUGGGCAAGGGUAUGGAGCGCAUUUCUGUCCAUGGAUUCAUGGAUUUGGAUAUCCACGAAUAGGCGGGUUGGACACCGUUAUAAUUUCUGCUCCAUGGAUAUCCAUUGGAUACCCAUGUAAUAGAGAGGGCCAUAUGACAGUGACACUGAGGCUAAGGAAUUUUUUCAACCCAAGUCAUUUGCAACCAUAUUGAUUCAGAAAAGGUCAAAACGGCCCACGUUCCCUAAUCCCCGCAACCUAAUUAUAGUAUACCUAAUUUACAUUGGCUGCCCUGCAUCAAGCCAUCAACCCACAUCGCGUCAAUUGUGCUCAAACCCAUAUCUGAAACCCCAAUCGUGCUCCUCCCUUAGUCCCCAUCGCGGCGAGCCGGCGACGGCACCGAGCGCCACAACCCGUGCUCCUCCUCCCUCAGUCCCCAUCGCGGCGAGCCGGCGACGGCACUGAGCGCCACAACCCGUGCUCCUCCUCCCUUAGUCCCCAUCGCGGCGAGCCGGCGACGGCACCGAGCGGCACAACCCGUGCUCCUCCGGUCCUCCCUUAGUCCCCUUCGCGGCGACUGGACUCAGCCUCAGCGGACAACAUCACCGACUGGACUCAGCAUCCGCGACAACCCUGGCCCCCACAUCAGCGACUGGACUCAGCAUCGGCGGACAGCAUCGGGGGCGGCCUCGUUUCACUCCAUCUCUGCCUCUCUCCUUCCCCAAUCGGCGACCAGCAUCAGCAAUCGCUUCCUCGACAGGUAUGCUCCGUCCCACUCCCUCUCUCC